AUCAAACACCAAAGGUCUGACCGAGUCAGCCCAAUUUGCUGACUCGACCCAGUCAGACAUUUAUCAAACACUCCCUUAGAAGUGCACUCUUUAAUAGACCUUGACUGCACACAUCUAUGCUCAUGAACCAAAGUUUUCACCAUCCAAUCGCUUUCUUCAUCAGAUCUAGAAAUUAAUACCACCCAAGGGCAUGUUGCUUUUUGUGAGCUGACUGUUUUAUCCUUGCAUUUGAUUCUACUUUUUGUCCAUGGCCCACCUGUCAUUUUCGGGACCACACCCCUGCAUUUUGCCCUAAUUCUUUUUUUUUUAUCAUUUUUUGAAAAGUAAAUGUUUCUCCUAGUUCGAAUUGAAUGCAUUUUAAUGUAGUCCUUCACUUCUGAUGAGGACUUAAAUAUUUGACCCAGAUGGAAUGCAGUUUCAUGUACUACUCCUGAUGAACAUGUGGUUGGUUUGUUUAACCUUCUCAUUAAUUUCUUCCUCUCAUCUUCUUCUACACCAGUUGAUUCAAAUAAUUGUGUAUCUAUCACCUCCAAAUCCUCAUCAACUGUGACAUCAGGUGCAUUGAAUGAUUGGUGGUUAUCUAGAUUUGGAAAAGAAUAAACACCACUGUGGAAGUCUUUCAUAUUCACUUCGACAUCCUCCACCAUAUUAAGUUCAUCCACUAAAAAGUCACUAUCGUCGCUUAUACUUCCAUCGGUACUAGUCUCAUCACUAAUAACAUCUCCAAUUUCUUCAUUUUCCCCCAUCUGUUGGUAAUCAUUAUGAUCCAUAUAAAAGAAAGGAUCAAAGUCUUCUGAAGGGACAACAUCUUGGGCUUUGUUAAGCUCCUCACUUGCAGGAUGAACUCGAACAUCUUUCACUACAUCUCUAUCAAAAUGUCCAAAAGGUACAACAGACCUAGAAAAGUCAUAGUUCUCAUUCAAGUCCAUUUUUCUACUACAUGAUCCUACCUUUGUACUUGUAAACUUUUUUCGAUUGAGUUCCGGAGAAAUAGGCUCAUUGAUUUCUUCCGAUACGACCUUAUUUGGAGAUAUAAAGUAUGCAUGGAGUCUAGUAGUUCCAUGUUCAGUAUACACCAUAAUCUCUUUAUGAUUAGCAACAUGCUUACUUAACAAAAGUACGUCUGAGUUGUUACCUAAAGGAAGUAACCCAUAAUCGAUUUCAAUCUCAGGAAUCAAGAAGUGGUAGUAGAUAGGCUCACCGUUGAUAUAACCUAUCUCCUUCAUCAUAUCGUCUAACUCAUGUACGGAAAACACGUCCAUGUCUACGUAGUCAACAUAGUCAAUACUCCCACCAACGUAACGUCUUCCUGGGUAUUUUGUGAACAUACCCCCAUGGUGAAUCUUGAAUGUGCAAAAACUACUUAACUCAACUGAAAAACAAAUAAAUAAUGAUAUGAGGAAAGAAUGAAGUCUCAAAAUUGAAUGUGCAUAAAUUACUUAACAAAAUUGAAAGUUGUUAACUGAUCACUCACCAUAAGCUUUGAUCAGGUCAGGAUUUUCUGAGAAUUUUGAACGGACAUUCCACAAAGUUAGAACGAUCGCAAAAGAUGAAAAUGAAAACCCUAGUUUCCGUUUGAUGUUUUGAAGUGAUGAAGAUGAAAAACCAGAGGAGAAAAGAAAGGGAUGAUUUCUUGGGGUAAUGUAAAUGGCAGCUAGAUGUAAGGAUCAUUUAUGAAUAUGAUCAUUUCGUGUAACAAAGCAAAAGACCAAAAUACCCUCGUGUGAGGGUCACGUGAUUUAGAUAAACGGAAACAAUUAAACGGAGUAUGUCAUAAGGACUAUUCGUGCAACAAUUUGGAACCAUAGGGACCAUACUCGUCCAAAAUUCCUCAUAAGGACUAUCUUUGGUCUCUUGUGCCAACCACAGGGACCAUCUGUGUAAUUUUGUCUUUUUUUAAAGAUAGUUCAUAAUUUUUCUAUUAUAUACAUUGUAAAUGAAAUUGAGAACUUAAGUAGGUCCUAGGACCUACCUAAGCACAUGGUGGAUACGCCCCUGUUACCCACACUAACCUCAUACACUUACAACACAAAUGAACUUGAACGGUCUAAGACCAAACCAAGAUAUAAUAUGAAAUGUGUAAGUAUAGUUUAAUAGAUGAAAGUGAGGUGUUGUUUGGGCUUGAAAAGUAGGGGUGAGCAUGGUGCGAUUUUUUGAGAAAACCGAACCGCAAACCGCAAGAUGCGGUUUCUAUAGGGUAAAACCGAUAGGUGUGGUUUUUGUUUCGGCGUGGUUUUACAUGCAUUUUCGGUGUCAUUCGAUGCGGUUUCGGUUUUUAACUGAAAAUAUGUGUUGGUGUGAUUUUUCAUACAUGUGUUGAUCUACCAAAGAAGUAAUAACCCCUAAAGAAGCUAGAGCAAGGCCUAAUUGAAAAUGAAGCCAAUUAUUAAUUGUGUCAUAAAGACCCUCAUGCCCACGUCUCAAUCGCCCUCUUGGAGGGAUAUGUGCAUCUAAAAGAUCUUUCAUACUGUGCCCAAUCCCAAAAUUAGUUCUAUACAUAUGCCCAACAAUAAGAAAAAGAAAUGCAAUAGCUAAAUAAUGAUGAGUCAUAUCAGCAUGUCCAAACCCGACUUUUCAGUUAACUUUCCUUUAUUUCCGGUACAGAUUCUCAUUUAAAUGUAUUUAACAUGCUUGUGAAAUAGUUAUAUGUUAUUCUUAUCAAAAUAUAGACUUCUUUAUGAUAUUACGAUUUUGAGAUUUGAAUUAUAUGUUUGAUGCAACAAGGGAUUUGGUUUUAUAAUCUCAAAUUCCAUUACUUAAUCAUUAUUGUUUAUACAGAUAGAGGCGGCUUUUGAUUCGAAUUGCAUUUUGCUUGUGAUAAGCAAAAGGAAAAUUGUUAAUGGUACGCACUUUGAUACAAAUGUCAAAUUUUAUAAAAAUAUAGCAAAACAUAAGGCAUGCACAGUGGCAAAAAGAACUGAAGAGGUCGAAGUUGAACAAAAUAUACUUUUAUUAAUAAGUAUUAUAAUAUAUUAAAUAUUGUCAGGUUUUUAUGGUGCUGUUUGGCAUUGUCCAAACCGCACCACACCGAAAAAUUACCAAUUAAGGUUGGAUUGGAAUGCAUAAUUAUCAAUUUAUCCUUAAUAAGUCAUAAAUCAACAAAAAUGGCCCAACAAUUUUCUUAAUCUUAAUUGUUGCCUUUGGAUUAGAAAUCAUCAACGAUCAAGAUUGGUUCUCACAAUUCUCUAAUCUCUACUUUUAUGUUGUUUUCAUUUGAACUCAACCCAAAAAUCUCACCAGUAAUCACCACACGAACAAAUCCCGUUCUUGAAAUGAUGAAACCUAUUUGUAUCCCGAAGAAUAAUUUCCCGCUCAACAAUCUUGGAAAUAAGCUUAGCAGCAAUAUGACAAUCCUCACAAACACGUAGAUUUUUAGUAAUCCGUAUAGGCGUAAAAGCUUUAGUAUUUAUAAUCACAAACACAAUAGCAAGCUUCUCACUAUGAACAGCAAGAUGAUUUCCUUUAUCUUCAUCUUCUAUAUCAUGAAGUGCAGAAUCCACUUCAGGAACAUACCCAAAAUCCCUCAUCUUCCCCACAAGUACUUCCAACUCUUGAUAAAUCUGUUUAGAUUGUGGAUGGGAUUGAUCUCCAGCAAGAAACGAAUGAACUUGAUUAUUAAGCUCAACAUUACUAACACCGGGCUCUUUUUUCACUCCUUUUGAUUUCAUUAUUGAACGAAUAUUUGUCACAUCUUUAAAUCUACCUGCUUUUGCGUAUAUAUUUGAUAAUAAAACAUAAUACCCUGCUUGUUCAGGGACCAAUUCAAAGAGAUGAUCUGCUGCUACAAGACCAAUUUCCAUGUUGGAAUGAACUUUACAAGCACUUAACAAAGCACCCCAGAUUCUAUCGUUUGGUUUUGUUUUCAUUUUCUUUAUAAAAUCAUAAGCUUCAUUGAUUCUUCCUGAUCUUCCUAGCAAAUCAACCAUGCACGCCAAGUGUUCGAGUCUUGGAAUGAUGUUAUACUCUUCGGUCAUCAAUUUGAAGAAAUGUUUUCCUUGGUUUAGUAAUCCGGCAUGGCUGCAGGCUGAUAGAACUGGAACGAAGGAAAUGGAAUCAGGGGCGAUUCCGGAAUUUUGCAUAUUUGAAAAGACUGUGAUAGCAGUUUCACCAUCUCCAGUCAUGCCAUAAGCAGAGACCAUGGAAGUCCAGGAGACGACAUCUCUUGUUGGCAUUUCAUCGAACACCUUGCGUGCUUCGUUUAAAGACCCACAUUUAGCAUACAUGUCAAUCAAGGCGUUCUCUACUGUUAGAUUAGGAAGAAGCCUUUUUGUUUUUACAUAUGAAUGAAUCUUUCUUCCUAGUAAUAAAGCUGAAAGAUCUCCACAAGCGGGUAGGAUGCUAGCAACUGUGAUUGAAUCCGGGUCGAUUCCGUAAUUCUCCAUUUGUUGAUAAAGAUUAACUGCAUCUUUAGGCAUCGAGUUGUUGACGUACACAGCUAUCAUGACAUUCCAAGAAAUUAAACUCUCUCGAGCGUGAUUCAUGAACAUUUCUUUCAUAAACAUCACGUUGGUAGAUGAAGUAGAAGUUGUUAAAGCAGGGGAAAGGCUGGCCAUGGUGCCUGCGUUGGGUUUUGAGGUAGAACAUUGCAUCAUUGUCUUACAAAUCUCCAAUGCAUCUUCAAACAUCCGGUUUUGGGCGUAGGCAGCAACCAUAGCAUUCCAGGAGACGAUAUCUCUACUAGGCAUUUCAUCAAACACCUGGCGUCCUUCCAGUAACCGGUUACAUUUUCCAUACAUUGUAAUCAAUCCAUUCCCUACAUAAAGAUUUGAAUGCAGACCCUUCUUGAGAACAGCAACAUGGGUUUGUAAUCCGACCCACAAAUUCUCAGACACGGAACAUGCUUUUAGAACUUGAGGAACUGUAAAAUGAUCAGGGUUAAUGUUGAACUUGAACAUGUUUCUGUACAUACGAAGUGCUUUUUCGUAGAAUUCAUUGUUUACGUAGCUUCUAAUCAUCACAUUGAAGAAGACUACAUCUUUUUGAGGAAAUUCAUCAAACAGUUGGCGGGUAACUGCGAUUUGGCGACAUUCAGAAUAAGCUUUCAUUAAUUUCAGAGCAAUAUGCGAUGCUGAGACGAGGUUUCCAUCAAUAAUUAACCUACAAUGUAUCUUUUUCAAUUGUUUGAUAUCUGGGCACUUGUCCAAGAUUUUGAUACACAAGUCUUCUGUGAUUAACAUGAUUGUUAAGGCGAGAUUUGAAUGAAUUUGAACUUAUAUUCCUUUCGCCAUGUUGUACCUGAGGGGCAAUCAAAUAGAAUGGACGAAGAUAACGAAGGUUUACUUGGUGGUGUUCACUUAAAAACAAGAAAUAUGAAGUUCUAAACGCUAUUUCUUGUUAAACAGAAAAUAUUUUGUCCAAUCUAAAAAUCCAAUUUUUGAGUAAGUUCAAGCUUAAGCUCAAAAAUAGUAAGCAAAACAUGUUUAAAAAAUAAAAGUUCGUUUGAAACUCUUUGGAUAGCUCGAGUAUAACAAUCAUCAUAAUUAUAGUCAAUAAAUCAGGCUCAAACAACCAAACUUGAUGUCCAGCCCUUGAUCAUCCAAUUGCCAACUGAAAUCAACUUAGUUUCCGGUUUUAGAAUCGCCCUAACAUUACAUAAGCACCAACUAGUUCCAAAAGUAGUUUUUAAUUCAAUGUCUCCCAUACCCGUGACUUCAAGGGUUUCCAUGUUACCCAACCUUACCAACUUAAGAUAAGUUCUUUACUUCAAUUACUAUAACAGAUCGAUGAGUCAUGUUCUAAUGACCUCUCGUCAUAUGAUGCAAUGCUUAGACUCGAGUCUUUUAAAGUCAAAUUCUAUAAUGAAAUAUACAUUCCUUCAAGUUUCUAAUGUGAUAUAAUCACAUUCUAGCAUGUAUCACUUCUAGCUACAAGCUUCUUACUUUAACAACAAUCACAAUACUUCUAUUGAUCGCUUUGAUUAUCUUUCAGUUCAAUCUUCUGGCUUAAGUCAGAUGCUACAUCGAUCUUGGUUCUCUGAACCACGUACAAUACUUAUCCUAGCUGUAAUCGAUUUGAUAUGACCACUAGGGUCGGAAUAACAAUCAUCUUCUUAGUCAUUACCGAAAUUAUGGUAAUGACACAUGAACAAAACAGAAUCAAUUACUAGCGUCUUGGUAACUCGUGACUUUCCCUGAUCCAAGUGCGAGUCGUGUGCUUCCAGUAGUAUAUGCCUCUACUACCUUUCACACCUACUCAUACUUGUCCCAAGUAUUGUCUUUCAGUUCUCCAAGUCACCAUAAAAGAAUUUCACAUAGUCAUUUAACACAUCGAAUAACAAAACUAAGGUUUAUAUUAUUUCUUGAAACGAUUACAUAGAUAUUCAAGUUCACCUUAUACCAUGCCUUUUAUAUUAGGCUACACCACAUGAUACUAUCUAUAUGGCUACUUUAUAUCUCGAUCUUCAGAUAUAUAUAGAUCCCUACUCCUAAUCCCUUGUAUCGUCACCUGCUUCAUCCAGGUUAGACUUCGAGAAUCUUCCUUUCUUAUCGAAUCUUGAGGAUCCCUCAAGCUUCUUCUUUUCUCAUGCCUUGUCUUAUUCCAGACCCUUUUUCCUAAAUUAGGUUUCCAUAUUCUUGGUUGCUCUAACGGUUGUCUUCAAAGUAGUUGCCAUUUUUACCAUUGCGCCAAAUUAUGCUGGCAAUCCGUUAGCAAAACUAUCUAUCUUGGAGAGUUCAGUAGCACCAAGUAGGGGAAUAACUUCAUCUGCUCGGUGAAUACGGUGACAUACUCAUCAACACUCAUCUUCCUUUUCUUCAAGUUCGAAACUCGUUGUUUAGGUCUAUCAGAUCUAUCUCUGAGCAGUAUUGCAUUUUCAACUGCUCCAUGAAUGCUUCCCACCUCAGGGCUUCUCCCCCAUGGCUUUGUAUCUGCCAAUAACUUCCACCAACUUAAAACUCUGGUCUUUAGUUGUCUGACUGUAAAGACGGUUUUCUGCUUGUUGCUGCAAUUGCAACUUUCAAAUGUCAUCUCUAUCUCGGAGAUCCAAUCCAUGAUCUCUACUGGCUUCGGGCUUCCAGAAAGACUUGGUGGUUUGGCACCUAAGAAGUUCUUAUACAUACGUUCAUCCUUAUCAAUCGCUUUUUUCGGGUCGUUCCUCCUUGCCACUCGGGGUUCAGCUUGACUCACUGUACGACUGUAAUUUCCCUCCUCCGACAAUUCUUCAUUCAGUUCGGGUUGCACGAUAGGCACAAUAGGUUCAUCCCUAUUAUCAAGAAACAUUUUUCUCAUCUCCUCCCUUUGUUCGGCCAUCAUAGCCCAAAUCAUUGCUUAGACUCUUGCCAUCGUGAUUGGCUCGGGUGCAGCUACUACCUCUGGUGCACAUUUAAUCACUCGUGGUUCAGGCUGUUAGUUUUCAUUAGCAUUUUCUAAUAUGUUGCGAGUUCUCACCAUUUCGAUCUAUACACUCUAGAGAUGUUCAGUGUACAGUGACGAGAAUUAAGAUAUGGAAAGCUUUAUUUACGACAGCCAUAUAAAUCUUCUUAUCACUCGUAAAAGUUAUAUACUAGUUCUAAUACCGUAAUUAAAUGUUUGGAAAUUUUGAGCAAAUGACGGUUCAUCAACAAUAGAGCGAAUCUCAUUUAGGAAUUCGUUGAUAGGUCGAUUUCCUUUAGGAUUUUUAGCAAGUUUGGAUUUUAAAGAGAUGAUUCUUGAGCAGGAGGUGCUGGCAUAGCUUGUGUUGAGAUGCUUUCAUGCUUCUUUUGUGGUAAAUACAGAGGUAAUGAUAGGUUGAAUGAAUUGCAUCUGAGCAUGAACCAAGAAUUGCAUCGAAUACUACAUGAUCUUGGCGAUAGCAAGUCGUGUAUUCAUGAUUAGGUUUGGAUUUGUCUUUGUCGAUAAUGAAUUUUGUGGUAGGAUCAGUCACCCAUGUGAUGUAAUCUUCCAGACCUAGUCCAAUAAAUGUGGACUGCACUUGUCGCCUCCAUACAUGGAAGUUGUUGGUGAGUAAUUUGGUAGGAAAGUGACUUGAGGCGGUGAUUUGUAUUUGGGAUGAUUGUGUCAUGGUGAUGUUGAUGAAAAGGAUUAGAGGAGAAAGGCAAGAUGAUCGAUUGACUCUUUAGAGUGUGUGUGCUCUGAUACGAUAUGAGAUUUGAGAAUCAAUGGGCUCGAAUGAAUAAUUUCAUUUACAAAGAUCGAUACAUAUAUAGAUGGUAACGAGAGUUAAAGAGCUAUACAUGGAAUUUACUAAGAAUAGAUUGCAAUUACAUACAAAUAGAAGAGAUUAUUGUAGAUUAGUCAUGAAGAUGUGUACGAUGUUAUAGUUAGAUUGCUUAUUUGCAAUCCAUGUUAGCUAAGUAUGUCAUGUUGAAUACAAAUUGUAUUAAAACAUUAAAGUUCCAACCAUUAUAUGUUGAAGAAGAAGCAAAUACGCCUUAGUCACACCCAUUCUAAAUGAUAUGGAUGUUAUGGUUGUCGUUUCUAUGCAACCAAAUCGUGAUUCCAAGUUGCAGUUGUCUUACCAAUAUAUCAUGUUAGGAAAAGAUGACAUAGCAUGAAAUAUUGUAUGUUACAACAAAAAGAUAUAUCUUAUAGAUGUCUUGCACAUGGGUUAUUCCUUUUUAAGCACUUAUAUAAAAAUAAUAUCACGUAUGUAUGAUAUCUAUUUUGAGAGAUUUUUAGCAAGCAACUCUUUGUCUAUUAUUGUUAUUGGAUAGAAAAAGUAUCAUCUUCGUUGGGAAGAUUUUACUAGGAUUAGAUUCAUAAUAGUUUGUCAAAGAUUUUACUAUUAUGUAUUUAUAAACCCAUGAAGUUUUCUAUUAAAUAAAUAAAUAAAUAACCAUUCACCAUUUAUAUCUUUUUGGAAUAGAGUUUGUUAAAUUCUAAUAUAAAUAAAAAGAGUAUUUAUUUAGAUUCACACAUUACAAAAUUACAAACUCCAAGCAUAAAUCCGAAACUUAUUUUUAAACUUCUUCAUUUAUAUUACAAGUUUUAUUCUUUUUUCCCAACCCACUUGGGGUUUCGAAACCCUAAAAAAGUUCUAUCCAUGGAAGUUCAUAUUUAUUUCUUAUCUUAAUGAAUUUAAGGUCUAAAUCAAUAAAUGGCAAUGUAGAAUUAACCGCAUAUAUUAAGUUAUUUUUGGAAGCUUUCCAACACAACACAGAAAGGAAAUGAUGAGAAUUUAUGGUACCAAAUAACAAAAUAAUCCCGGUUCCUAUAAAAAUUUAUUAAAGCUCUACUCAUGAUUUCAUAAUCUCCUCUAAUAUGAGGGUUACGUUAUUGUAAUAAUAACUAUGAUAAUGUAAAAGCCAUAACAUAAAUCGUCUUAAUUUAAGAAAUAAUAUAAAUCCCAAGAUAUUGUUUUUAAAAUAAAAAGGAAAAAAGUGGGAGUCCAUUAGAAGGAGCCAAGCUGAUUAUUUGAGCCAAGAGAGCACCGAUUUGUUAUCCUUCCACUGUUCGAAGCGAGAGGUUAUCGCAGCUCUGUGAAGCCAGCCUAACGCAUUGCCCUCUGCUCUAGGAACCAAGAAGCCCAAGCCUUCGCUCAAGCCACUUGAUCCAACUCCGAACUUGGAACGGGCAAACCAGAUUUUGCAACAGCUUUGACCCAACCAAACAAGGCUCGAUCUCAGUCCAUCCCACUUUAGAGCCCUCACUUGAGUCACAAGCUCGCGUUACCAAGCUCGGCGAUAAACGAAGUCCAUUUGAUGUAUAAAUAAUCGGAAAAACUUUCUCCUCCAAGCGAUGUGGGAUGCGAAACGAAAUAUUUUCAUCUUCAUUCUCUCUUUAUCUCUGUCAAAUACUGUGAUUACUGAUUACUGACUACUUAAACACCCAUGCAACGGAUUUCAAGUAUUUUUUUCAAUCCAUGGAUUUAGAACUGUAAACUGAAAAAAGAGAUUGUGGAAUAGUUUUGGAAACUGGAAUUUGUUUACAAGUUUUUCGUGAGGUGUAAGUGAUAAGAUAUGAUAUUUGAGUAAUUGGAAUCAUUCUCUCGAAGAUUCAAGUAUCAAGUAUGAAACUUAGACAAUAUAUAUACCUGUUUUCUUCUCUUUUUUCUGUCUACGAACCGAAUCCAACAUGAUUUCUCUACAAAAUCCGUGUCUUAAUCCUAAUUAACACUCACUAACCGGUUACCCCUCCAGAUGUUGCAGAAAUUUUCUUGAAUUAUCUCUUUUGUUUUUCACAAUUCAAUGUCGGUUGCUCCCUUUCUCUCUGAUUCAAGUAUUCAACCACCGCCAAAGACUUGAGAAAGUGGAGGAGUUUAUCAAUUAAAUGAGUUUAUAUGCUUUCCAACUUUUCGUAAAUUGCAAGUUACUCCCCGUACCUUUCGAAAAUCUUCCUUUAACAAUUGUGGAAAGUUGUUGAAAUUUGAAAAUAAAAUAAAAAUUAUAGUCAAGGGGAUCGUUUUAAAGGUUUCCAGGAGAUACUUUUGUUGAUAUAUUUUUGAAUAAAAAGUUAAUUAUAUAAUAGAUUUUUACCAAAUAAUGUGGAUAGCUAAAAAUGUGAUUAUGGUUUAAAAAAGAAAUCUAAUAAAUAAAGAUUAAAUAAAGAAGUUAUGUUUUAAUAUAACUAAAUUAAUGAUGGUAUUGUGUUUGAUGAAAGGACUAAAACUGAACAAAGAAAAAAUAUUUGUGUUUCACUCACAGAUACUAGCAAUUGAUGGGUCUUAAAUGAAAAGGAGUUGGAUAAGGAAUAAAAACCUUGUAGACGUUCACACUUUUCUCUUUUGAUCAAAAUCUUAUUUAUAAAUUUCAAAAUUUGAUUCAAACCUGUUGUAUAAUUUUAAAUAAUUAAACUCAUAAUUAAAAUUAUACUCUUAUCCAUAAGUUAAUAGAUAUCUUGACUCAUUUAUAGUAUUAUAGAUUACAAGAUUGUUGUGCACGUCACAAAGUAUCAUCCAUAAUAUAUAACAUGAUAUUUUACUUAAUACUAAAUAUACGACAAUUCAAAAAUCAUAUUUUACUAAAUACUUACGAUAACAUUUUUUUUUAAAUGGAUGUCUAUUAUAACAAAUAUGCAUGAGACAACGUAGUCGUCAAGAUAAAUCAUAAACAAAAUAAAUGUCUACUGUAGAAAACAUAUGUUUAACAUAUAUCAAUUGCACUUAGAAAAUAUUUACACUCUCAUAGUAUGCGUUCGAUAGGGAGAAAGCAUCAUAAUCAAUUGGUGAUUUUUUUGGUUGACGUGGUUAUGUGUUUGAUUAGAGAAGAAAGCAAAUAGUAUGAUGUCGAUUGAGGAUUUCUUGAGUUACAAAUAGGGUUAAUGUCAUAAAAAUUCUCAAGCUUUCAGGGUUUUGUCGGUUUUGCCCAAAGUUUAAUUUUAUGUCCGUUUUUACCCUAACAUUUUCCAAAAAAUGUUCGUUUUUACCCUUUUACCGGUGAUAACAGGUUACCAUUAUAUUAGUUUCGCAAAAAAACCCUUAAGUUUAUAGUUUUUUACGUUUUUACCUGUAAGUUUAUAUUUCUUUUACACUUUUACCCUUUGUAUUUUUUUUUUUCAUAUUAUAUGUAUUCAUAAAGAAAAAAUAUAUUUAUAUACGAAAUUUUUUUAAUUAAAUAUUGUAUUUACAUUUUUAUAAUGUUAUUUCUUCAUAUAUAUAUAUAUAUNNUAUAUAUAUAUCAAUAAAAAACAUAAUGAAUCAUAAACAUGUUUAUAUAAGUAUAUACAUAUAUUUUUAGAAGUGUAAAUAUGUAUUUUGAUAUAUGUUUUUUUUUAAGUAUAAAUAUAUUUUUAGAAGUAUAUAUACAUAUUUAUAUAUAAAAAUGUAAAAAUAUGUAUUUAUACUUUUAAAAACUAUAUCUAUAAAACACGUAUUCAUAAUCUUGUAAAAAAAUGUGUGUUAGGAUCUUUUGAUCGCAUUCCGAUCUUAUGAUCACAAUCUUGUAAAAUACAAAAAUAAUCGUAUGUAAGAUUUCAAUUUUGACAAUCUUUAUUUGAAGGAAUAUUAAAAUCAUAAAAUUAUGUUAAUGUGUAACUUGGAACUUGGUGACCCGACCCAAAACAAAGUCAAGAAACCCGACAUCAAAUAUCGAUGGGAUAAAUGUUUGGAAUAAGCUUAGGGUCGAUAGGCCCUAAGUCGUUGGUAAUAGAAGAAUUUUUCAGUUUCCGGCUCCCUACCUAUGAAGUAUGUCAUAUCGACCAAAUCAUAUUAAAUCUAUGUGUCAUUUUAUUGUUGCUUUUUUGCAUAACAAAUUGAAUACUUAAUCUCACAAAAUCAAAAACCUAACUUGAAUAUGAUCAUUGUCGUUGAUACAAUAAAAAUAUAAACCAACAAAACCUUGGAAUUCGGAUUGAAUCCACAUGGAGUUCGUAGUUAAAUUAUGUGUUUGAAAGAUUCAAUUAGCUAACCAAAGAUGCAAGAAAACUAAUCACUUUUGGAACAAUCAAAUUUGAAAUCCAAAGGACAAAAAUGUGCCAAUCAUAAAUUAGGAAUUUAGAAAACCAAAAGUGUAUUGCAAUCAAUUUCUAAAUUGAAUGACCAAAAAUAAUGACCAAAUCUCGCAUUAACUAAACAUUUGAAUGUAGUUAUUUAAUUUUUAUUGUAGCAUAGAUACAUAGACAUGAUCAAUAAAUCUUCUUAUUCUAAUAAAUGAAUAAGUUUAUUCUCAUGUUGACAAGUCUUCUCUAAUAAAUGAAGGUUUUUUGUCAUUUGUUACAUUCUCAUUCAAAUUGUUAAAUGUCAUUUUGUGGUUAUUUUGAAUUAAUUUUUUUCCCACAUAUCAUUUUAUGAGUUUUUCUAUUUUAUUAAAUUCCACAUAAUAUUUUAACAUAAUAGUUGUAAUAAAUGUAGUAAUAAACGGAUAUUAAUUUCACUAAUAAACUUACCUUUUAAUUUCAAAAUUCCCAAAAUUAAAGUUCAUUCGUUUCUUUUCUUUAUUUAAAUUAUGUGUUUAAAUUUAAAAGAUAAAAUACAUUUCCAUUAUAAUAAAUCAUUAUUUUUCUUAUUUUCUUAUAAAUUCAAAGUUCUCAAAUAUUUUGACAUUUAUAUUUAACAUUUUUUUUAAAUAAAUUCAUAUAAUACAUGGGUCUCGCAACUAGUGGCAUACUGUUAGAAAUCUUCAUUAAUAUUAUAUGUCAUCUAUCAUGCCACAUGUCAACCUAUUAAUUCUCCAUUUUAAAUUUUAAAAUUUAAAUUUUCCACUCUAAUUACAUUAAAUUAGAUUAUUUAUUUCAAAUUUUAAAUUUCACAUUCUAAUUACACUAAAUUAAUAACAUUAGAAUAAAAAAUAAAAUAAAAUUAAUAUAUAUUAUAAGGUGAUAUAAUUUAAUGUAUUUAUUUAAAUCAACGAUUAUAAUUUAUAUAACUAAAAAAAUAUCUCUUAAUUAAUAAUUUAUUUGAAGUAAUUGAUUAAUAAUUUUAAAUUUACUAUGUUUAUAUUAAUUUUAUAAUUAUAAUUCUCGCAGAUUAUAAACUAGUUAGUAGAAUAAAAUGACAAACUUUAGGCAUAACCCUUGAUAUGGCCGUAAAAUAGUGUUAACUCCAAAUCUAGGUGGAGCUCGGCACGAUAUAUCACAAUAAUAUUAACUUCAAACAAUUUAAAAAUAAAACUUAUGCAUAAAGUACGAGAAUAAAUUGUUGGGUUACAAAUAAAAUAUUGAAAGAGAAGAGGUUAAAAAUGGCCAACUAAAUGUGUUUGACCAUAUUUAGGGAGGAAGGAGUUGUUUCCCUCCUCCUGCCGAAACCGCUAAACCUUAGUCGGAGGGUAUCGAACCCAUCCAACCCCAAAACCACCGACCCCAUCUUCUUCAACUUUCCAACUUUGAGUUGUCUCCCCAGUGGGUUUCUCAAACCGUUAAACCCCUCUCUUUCUCUCUUGCUUUCAUCCCUUUCCUCCUCUAACCCGCUAUGACUCCUUCAUCCCUUAGUCACUCAACUUAUUUUUGUCUACUAAGAUAAGAAACUUUUCAAAAUCAUCAACUUUUAUCCAUUCAACUUAUUUUGUCAAUUUUUAGGUAAUGAUUUUAACUCAUUGCUCGCCUUUGUGCUUCUAAGAUGAAGUAUCUUGCAUAUUUUGGAGAAAGCAAAUAAGAAUAAAGUAUGUUGCUAAAUCUGGUCCCAAUAAACAAAUAUUUACUCAUAACAAUCUCACACAUAAGAAUUAUGUUAUCAUUAAAAGAUGAAUACGAAUGUUUUGUACUUAGCCUUUGCCAAGUUAUAUAACUUAAUUAAUUAAUUUAUAAGUCCAGACUUUACAAAGAAAAAUCAAGUGAAGUUAAUAAACACAAACUUAAGCAUCAUCAUUGGGUUGAUGCUCUUUUGGGUGUCUCGUCAAAGCUUGAUUAGUAAUGAUUGGAUCUCAUUCAUUAUUCACAUGUCAUCUUGAAACAAAGCUUUGUAAACAGAAUUAGAACCACCACCCCGUUCAUCUUUCUUGUCUCCUCCGCCGCCUAUCAUCGGAGUCUCACAAACCACGCUAUAACCAGCCCUCCGUUGUUUCUUCCUUUUGGAUUCUUUAUUAGAUACGGGUCUAACCUUGGUUGUUUGUAAUGGCUUCGGAGCCCAAACCCUCUGCAAAUCGGGCAUUCGGCCUGUGAAUACGAACCUUUUAGCCCUCUCUCUCCUCUCACGAGCCUCAAUUAACUUUUGUUCAUCAUCCUUUUCUGUCUCUCCUAAAUCCAAGUUGUCAAGCGGAGGAUGCGAUGGUUCGUCUUCUAAAAACAAUGAAUCGUGAAUCAUCAUCUUAUUAGCAGCAGCCAUCUCGUGACUGCUAUCCUCGCUGUUCAACAUCAUACCCUGAUCUUCGUUUUCUUCACCAAAUGGUAACAGGUCCAUUUCAUCGUAGAUCUUCUUCACCACGUCUUCCAGAUUCUGUGAAUACCUGAAAAUUGAAUUUAUCAUAAGCAAAUUAUCAAACAGUUGGUGUGCAACUGAGAAAUGGCUAGAAUUUGGAUACAAAAACUGUGGAAACUAUCAAAUAAUCAAACAAAUAAACGAAGUACCUGGUUUUUAUGGUUUUCUCGACGUACGCAUAAAGACUGAUAUCACCAUGAAAGCCUCCUUCCACAAGGUAUUGGAAGAUCUCCAAUAGCGAACAAAUCUGUUUCACAAGCUUCGUCUUCAAACUCCCCUUCAUACUCCCUGCAUAUUCGGACUGAAGUAUCUCCAUCCGGAGCAAAAUUUGUAAUUCGUAUCUUUAAGUUUAUUAAGGAAAAGAUUAGACCAAAUAAAGAUAUAUUACCAAUUUACCAAGAAUAUGUAAAAGAAAUAAAAAGAAUAAAAGGAUACUCUUUGACUAGGUAUUUUGAGGUAGAACUUGGAUCAUUAUCUUUAUGUUCCUUCAAAUCUUUGGGCUCUGUUAGUAGUAACUGUAUGAUUUCAGCAACUUGAGUAGAACAAGAUUCAUCAAGAUUUUCCAUCUUUUUCUGCUUUUGAGAUAACCAAUAAAUGGACGAGUUUACAAAACUCUCUGCCAUGAUCUUCAAGUCCACACCAUCAGAUUCAAGCCCCUGUUGAAUUCUCUUAGGCAAACUACUGAAAAAAGCUUCUGGAGUUUCUGAACAAGAUUCAAAAUCAGCAUCCCCAUGGAUUCUUGACUGUUGAGAACUAAUAGCCAUUGUAAGAGGUCCAUCGCUUUCUUGAUGGCUUGCAGAAAUAUCUUCAUUUACAUCUGUUUCUUUUUGCUGAAUUGAAUCUGGAGCCAUUUUGCAUGAUCUAUCUAGUAUGUUAUUGGAAGAUAAGCUCUUGUUUUUCACUUCUGUCAUCCAGCAUUUCAGAAACUUCAACUUCUUUGACUUUUUCAAGCCAUUGGCAAAAUAAACCUCUGUUAAGUCCACAUCUAAAAACUCAUAUGCAGCCUUGCAGAAUGCACUCCAUGUAAGGUCCCGAUGUGUGUGUUUUUUAAUCUUUCUUCUCUUUCCACCAGCUAAAUGAACAUAUUUUCCAGAUGGGGAAGUACCCUUUUGAGAAUCAAAGUCACCUUGAGAAAGUUUAUUCUCUAUCAAGAGGUUUGAUCCACCAUCUUUUUGAACAAGAGCAUUGUUAUGAUCUAAGAACAAGAGAACAGCUGAAUGAACUGUGAAGGGCUUGAGAAUCCCUGUGUGAGAAUCCCCAUUGUUAUUUGAUAUAGAUAACAAAGCCCAGUAACCCUUGCUAUAAAGAAAACUAAGUAAAAUCUGCCAUGUUGGAACCGAAUGCUUCUCAAAGAACUCAGAUUUUUCACUGGCUAAUUGUCCAAGAACCUUAUCAGCCAAAAAAAUGUCUAAACCAUCUUUCUCCUUUUUGGCAGAUUUUGCAGAUUGAACUAAAAAAUGAUCUGAAGAAAAUUCUUCAAGUUUUUCACACACAGUGUACUUGUGAACAGAUGUGAUGUGCAACUUCAUAAUUCCAUUGUUUAAAUUACCCAAAAAUGUGCUCACAGAGUUGACAACUUCAUCUUUUGAGCUAGGCUUUGAUGAUGCCUUUAGAUGCAGCACAUUAAGAUCACAGCAUUUCCACUCUAUGGGCUUACCAUGGACAUCCAAAAUCUCGAGACCUAAUUGCCCACGGAUCCUUUUAUCUAAUUUAGGAGAAUCUAGCAACUUAGAUGAGAUCCCAAUAACUGGAUAUAUCAACCCGAAAGAAACAAGCGCAGAACCUAGAACAAUGGAAUCCGCAGAGCAAAAUCCCCAACCAAAUUUCCUAAUUUCAUUUCCAAUAAUAGCAGAGUGCUUCUCGGAUUUAUUGUUUUUGCCUUCUUCUUCUUCGUGGCUAUGAAUGUCAACCCAACAGAAAUGUAUGUCCUUACUAUUAAAUGCAUCAUUAACAGCACCAAAACAAUCACGAAACCUAGCACCAUAAAUAUCUAAAUUCCUCAAGCAAUCAUUAUCGACAUCCACAGACACAAAAUCAGCUAAGGAUUUCAACGAUCUACAAACUGGCGACAACAAAAUAACCAAAUUUGAUCGGACAUCGAUGGGAUCAGAAUGAAUUUUACCUGGAAGAUUCUCAAUAUCGAACUCCCAGCCAUAGUCGCGAGCGAGCUGAAGCAAAGAGCUGGCUAUAUGUGAAGCGUUUGAAGGGGAAUACGUCAAUUUGGUAGAAGAGAUGGAAUUAAGGGUGUGGGAGAGAGAAUCUAGGGUUUGCGAAGGAGAAUUGAAGGAUACAGAAGCAGAAGAAUAACUGGGAAGUAGAUUGCGGAGCGUAGAGACGGAAUCGAGAGAGGAGAGAGAAGAGAAGAAGAGCUUGAAGGAGAAAAGAGAAGAUGAAAGAGGAGGGAAAGAUAAAAGAAUAUUGGAGGUAGCAAGAAUGGAGGUGAGGUAAUUAGGGUUAGGAAAUUGGGAUAGAAAUGGAUUGAGGUCUACGAGAAGAACUAUACGCUGUGUUUUUGAGAAAUCAAUGGCGUCCGCCAUUCAAGCUUGAUAUUUUAAGACUUUCGGGGAGAGCACAGAGAUACGGGGUUCUCGCUGUAGAAGUAGAAGAGCAGAUAUGCUUAUUGCAGAUCCAGGAUGCUAACUUGCGCCGCACCAACGUGGAGAGAGAGGAUAGAGACCGGGACAAUAUGGGCGGCAAUGUAGCAAUGGCGGGAGAAUUAUAUGAGUUUAAAAGUCAUGACCGGUUUAUACAAAUAUAAUUAAAAAAACGACGUAUCAUAAUUGUUAAAGUAAAUGAAAAAAACAAUUAAAAAAAAACAUUGUUAGACGAGAAUAUACUUAUUGAAUAACAUAUAUGUUCAAGAUGAAACUUAAUCCAUUAACCUCAUGGAAGAAUGACAUUUCAUUAUACUGAUAGGUUAAAAACUUGUUGGUUUUUGACUUUCAAUUGUUUAGAUGUAUGUUUGUGAUUCGGUUUCUUAUUUAAGUGUGACAAAACUAUAACCAUCAACUUUUCGUUAAAACGAUUAUCUUACAAAAUAAACUUCACUACACAUAUCCUACACUACACUCUUUAUUCAAUAUUGUUUUAUCCUAACAGUAAGCAAGAACUUGGAACCCUAACUAAGAGUUCUAAGAAAACAAAGAGCAUCAAAUAAUCUAAAGGGCGUAUUAUGUGAUAAUGACAUAAAACCUAACUCUCUCCAUUUAUAUAUAGCGUACAGGAAUAUAAUAUACACCUCAUUAUACAAGUUUGAACACAAGUGUGUCAUUUAAGAGCAUACAAAUGUCAUAGUACAAGUUCCAAAGCCAUUAGUGCAUUUAAUUAAAGCUCCACACGUACAAACAUCCAAGCUCCCACAUAAUAAUCCUUUAAAGCUUCAUCUCUACUUUGAUAAUAAUACCAACAGUCUGUAACAUCUUAAAAUUUAAGACUUUGUUAUUAAAUAAAUAAAGUGAAUAAAAGAGAGAUGAUGUAUAUAGUUAGAGCAUUAAGGAGUAAGCAUAUCAUUGGUUGAUAUGAAGUUUGGAAGAUUAGAAGUGAAAAUUAUAACAUCUUAAAAGUUAAAGGAUUAUUGUGACAGUCGGGUGAAACUUAGGUUUGACUAGAGAUUUGACCAGCUUAAAUAACUUGGAUUAAGUUGUGAAGAUUAUGAUGUUGAGGGGUCAUUUUGGAAGUUCAUUGAAGCUUCUAAGUUAGUUUGGAGUUAUUUUGAAAGAGGUUUUGAAAGGAGGGACCGAAAGUGGCAAGUUGAUAAAGUUCAAAAUUAGUUAAUGGGUCUUCGCUCCCAUUUGCUUAAAAAACAACGCGGUUGAGAGAAAGAGAGAGGUAAAUGGCGAUUUCUAUUAAGCAAAGGAAGAUUUAGAGUGGUCGUUGAGUAAUCAAGCUAGAAAUUGAAGAUAUAAAGCAACAUCAAGCUUAAGAGGUAUAAUUUCUUAUCCUCUAACUCUAUACUUCGAAUUCAAGGUUUGGGGAAAACCUCGAUGUCGAAAUUAGUUUGAUUCUUUGAUUAGGGUUUUGGUUUCUAACCUCUCUUGAGUUGUUUUGAUGAUCUCAAUCUCAAUCUCAAUCAAAUCAUCAUAUUGAUGGGUUUGAGGAUUUUAAUGAAACCCCUCAUGAACCCUAGAAAUUCAAAUUAUGGAUUUCAUGUUUAUAUGUUAGAUUGUAAUGGAUUCAAUGACCUAUAUGCUUUUUGAUGUCAAUAAACCCAAUUGGAAUGCUCAAUCACAUCCAUGAUGGUAGAAUCAAAGUAUGAGCGUGAAUUUUAGGUGAUUUUAGGGAAAUUGUGGUGAAAACAACAUAAUUAUUUAUAUAUGAGCAUUUGAUGAGUACAUGAUACUCAUAAACAUGAAAUGAUACUAAUAAUAUGAUUUAAAUGCACGAACAUGAAGGCUUGGGUGAUCUAUAGUUGAAUUUAUGGAAUAAUUGGCCAAAAGGGCCUUUUAGGAAAUGUAUUGACAAACAUAUAAUGAUUGACAAAUAAUAAGUGAAUGGCAUUCAUGAACAUGAAUUAACACUCUAGAUAUGUUAUUGGAACAUUAUGUAAUAUCCCAAAAUUUAAGACUAAAAAAUUUCUUUUAAUAAAACAUUUCUUUAAGCAAAUUCAUCAUUCCAAAACAUGAAUAGAGUAUUAAUUUCCAAAAUACUUGUUCGUUAUCGGAGUAAACAUUCCUAGGCUAUCUAAUCUGUGGUGUGUGUGCCAUGCGAUCACCCCGAGCUCUUCCCUCCGCUACCGGAAGUACCCGAAACCAAAACUGAAAACCGUAAGCACGAAGCUUAGUGAGUUCCCCACCCUACCACAUACCAUACAUUCACAUAUCAUACACACUGUCGGGCAAUUAUGGGGUGCCCGACCUACCCGGNNNNNNNNNNNNNNNNNNNNNNNNNNNNNNNNNNNNNNNNNNNNNNNNNNNNNNNNNNNNNNNNNNNNNNNNNNNNNNNNNNNNNNNNNNNNNNNNNNNNNNNNNNNNNNNNNNNNNNNNNNNNNNNNNNNNNNNNNNNNNNNNNNNNNNNNNNNNNNNNNNNNNNNNNNNNNNNNNNNNNNNNNNNNNNNNNNNNNNNNNNNNNNNNNNNNNNNNNNNNNNNNNNNNNNNNNNNNNNNNNNNNNNNNNNNNNNNNNNNNNNNNNNNNNNNNNNNNNNNNNNNNNNNNNNNNNNNNNNNNNNNNNNNNNNNNNNNNNNNNNNNNNNNNNNNNNNNNNNNNNNNNNNNNNNNNNNNNNNNNNNNNNNNNNNNNNNNNNNNNNNNNNNNNNNNNNNNNNNNNNNNNNNNNNNNNNNNNNNNNNNNNNNNNNNNNNNNNNNNNNNNNNNNNNNNNNNNNNNNNNNNNNNNNNNNNNNNNNNNNNNNNNNNNNNNNNNNNNNNNNNNNNNNNNNNNNNNNNNNNNNNNNNNNNNNNNNNNNNNNNNNNNNNNNNNNNNNNNNNNNNNNNNNNNNNNNNNNNNNAUAAACCAUUCCUUGGGCACCCGCCCUCUAUCAUUGGACCUCGUCCCGAAUAUCAUACUAGCAUACUGUGCUUAGGGCUAACCCCCGGGUCUUCUACUCAUAACUACAUGGGCCGGCAUUGUGGCCGUAGACCCAUUCAUACAAAGGGAAACUCACCUACAUUGGCUGAACUGGCUGAUGAACCCACUAGCUGCUACCCGACAACUCUCUGAAUUCCUGCUCCACUCGCUCCUUGAGCUGCCAAAAUCAAUGCAACAUUGAGUCUAACUGACUCCCGAAAGACAACCAAGUCAAAUCUGGUCUAAGUCAGAGUCCAGGUCAAAGUCAACCUCCCAGGUCAACCCUACUCGUCGAGUCUUCCUACUGACUCGCCGAGUUCAUGCGCUCAAAGUCCUUCCAAUCGCGACUUGAUUCGCCGAGUCAGUCCAUGACUCGUCGAGUCCAACGAUUUUUGAGUCCUGACCUGUCCAACUCACCGAGUCUCCACUCGACUCACUAAUUCGAGUCUUAACUCGAAGGGUUUGGGGUUUCGCGACCUGACUCGCCGAGUCCAAGAACAGACUCGCCGAGUCCAAGGCAAUCUUCAACCAACUCGCCGAGUUGUUCUUCAAACUCGCCGAGUUCCUGCCCAACUUCAUCUGACUCGAUGAGUUGUUCAUCCCACUCGUCGAGUUCCUCCAAAUCUUCAUGCCACUCGUCGAGUCCACUCAAAGGACUCGCCAAGUCCAUUCAGACCUCCAUACAUGCAGAGGACUUUUGAGUCAUGCAUGGACUCCAAACUGUAGAUCUACCCUUCCCAAGCCUAUUCCUCACGUAAAGUUGCAAACUUUACGUGUAGAGAAGGAGAUCUAGGCAAAAUACACCAUAAACUAGGGUUUAAGGCAAGGAGGCUCCAUAAUCANNNNNNNNNNNNNNNNNNNNNNNNNNNNNNNNNNNNNNNNNNNNNNNNNNNNNNNNNNNNNNNNNNNNNNNNNNNNNNNNNNNNNNNNNNNNNNNNNNNNNNNNNNNNNNNNNNNNNNNNNNNNNNNNNNNNNNNNNNNNNNNNNNNNNNNNNNNNNNNNNNNNNNNNNNNNNNNNNNNNNNNNNNNNNNNNNNNNNNNNNNNNNNNNNNNNNNNNNNNNNNNNNNNNNNNNNNNNNNNNNNNNNNNNNNNNNNNNNNNNNNNNNNNNNNNNNNNNNNNNNNNNNNNNNNNNNNNNNNNNNNNNNNNNNNNNNNNNNNNNNNNNNNNNNNNNNNNNNNNNNNNNNNNNNNNNNNNNNNNNNNNNNNNNNNNNNNNNNNNNNNNNNNNNNNNNNNNNNNNNNNNNNNNNNNNNNNNNNNNNNNNNNNNNNNNNNNNNNNNNNNNNNNNNNNNNNNNNNNNNNNNNNNNNNNNNNNNNNNNNNNNNNNNNNNNNNNNNNNNNNNNNNNNNNNNNNNNNNNNNNNNNNNNNNNNNNNNNNNNNNNNNNNNNNNNNNNNNNNNNNNNNNNNNNNNNNNNNNNAAUAAUAGACUCGGUUCACCCUGACCCUGAACAUCCUGGAAACACAACUUACUUACCGACAAUCCUUCUGGUACUCACCGAGUACUGCACUGAACCUAUAGGGGUUCACCCCUUCUUUCCUUGCACAAUUCCUUGCCUUCCCAAGGCAAAGCUCCAUAACCAACUAUUCCUUCUGUCACUGUGAAGGCCCUAUCCUUCACCAACUCCAUCACCCCCGCUAUUUCCAGUACGGGUCAUAUCCGUCAGUAACCACUGACACCUCCUCUCUGCCAAAACUUGGUGCCGAGCACCCCUCGAUUCAAGUAACUGAAUUCCACCAUACGCUGCUUACCCGCAAUACCACUGACUGAAAAUUCUGCUAUUCCUUGUCUGCCUUCCGGAUGAACUGAGACCACCCUGGUCCCUACCAACCUAUCAAUGACUGGAUUACCGGCUCCCACCGGUAGUUGACCCAACACAACUACUAGUCGCUCCCAGGGACUUCCGAAGAAACUUCGACCACCUAUAACUGCUCAAUCUAUUCUGCUAUUCAGGCACUACAAACAUGGGAUCCCCGAUCCCCUAACUUGACACUAAGGUCCCUACCAGAUCCCACCUGCGCUGCUAAGACCCACGGGCCUCGCCCACGGGUCCCACCCGUCUCUAUCCUUCUAGUCCCACUAGUCUAAUCACUCUCGCUCGGGCCUCGCCCACGGGUCUCACCCCAACCAUAUCCUGGAGCAGCCUCUCCCAAGGUCUCACCUCUCUAGAGCUAAAUAGGCAAACUCCCUAUCAUUCUCAUCCACUACCCAUUCCUGAUCCCUGACCGAUCACUAGGAGGUAAGGGCCUCGCUCCAACUCCGCUAUCGAAGCUACUAAGGAAUGCUAUGGCUGCCCCGUAGUCUGACAACACUUCCGCCACUAACUGCUAAUACGAAGGCACCCAUGUGCCAUUAGCUCUCAAGAUCCUCAUUCUGACUCCCUCGAGUCCUACGGGCGAUCCACAACCUGAAUUCCCAACCACGUACUAACCAUUACCAUCACACGCACUAGUUGUUGGGGAGUUUCUCAAACUCCCAACCCUGAAAUCCUCAAUCCAUCAAAUGCUGAACUACCUCUUUUCCUUCUCGGAGGUUGCACCCUCAUUCUGGAUCUGCGUGCUCCUACCUUUUCACACUCGGAGGAUUCUCCCCCACUUCGAUCCUGCUUACCCCUUGUUGCUCAAUACUCAAAAGAAAUCCUUGCUACCAUUUCAUAAUCAAUCUGCUGAGGGACCCGUGCUUACCAUAGCUAGGGAUCUAACCAAUCCAUUUCUAACACUAUACAACUCCGAUCUUUUCAAUACUCAAAAGAAAUUCUUUUUAAAUGCUUUUAAAAAGAAUGUCUUGAAGGCAAAAACGUUUUUGAAAGUAAAGAAUGUUUUGGAAGAACAAAUGUUUUGAUAUGUGAAAUGUAUCUUUUCAAAGUAUAUUUUUCUAGUAACAUAUGCUAUUGAAAAUUAUGAUAUGUGUAUUGAUAAUGGGGAAUAUGAAAGCUAAAAAAAAAAAGUAAAAAGACACAAUGAAAACUACUCGGACCAUGAUACCUCAUAAGAGGCACUAGAGAAAUCUAUCGGGAUGACACCUCCCUCUUGCGAGAUAGAUGUCCUAAUUGAUAUGAUGCCUUGAUAAAUUGAGUUGCUCUUUCCACAUUAGUCUAGACUUGGGAGUGGUUCCUUUAUUGGGCGUAGACCCUAAGUAUAAAAAUGACAAUGAUUUAAUACCAUAAUUAGUCGUUAAUUAAAUAAUUGAAUGUAAUGUGUGUAACAUCGAAAAUUUCAAAAUAAUUUUUCAUUUAAAAAUAAUCGUUUAAUUCUUAAAAAAAACACUUUGCUUAAAAUCUCAUUCAUAAUCGAAUUACAAAACAUGACUCCAUUUCCACUUGCAUAAUAAACCAGGAUCCUCAAAACAUGACUCUUUCUCUGGUGUGUACAAUCGAGCCGGUGCCGUCCCGUGAUCCUGAGAGAAACCUGAAACACAUAACACAAAACACUGUAAGCACGAAGCUUAGUGAGUUCCCCAAAAUACCAUAUAUAACACAUAUUAGCCACUCGAGGCUAUAACUCUGUGGGUCCGUGCACCCAACUCUGUGAACCCUCAGGCUCUAUCUCUGUGAACCUUCCGGUUCUAACUUUGGGAACCUUCCGGUUCUAACUCUGUAAACAUGCACAUCAUAAAUCACAUAGAAAUAAUGCAGUACAACACAUAAGAUACAUAGCAUACAAAUACUCUGUCACAUAACUCUGGUUACCUAUUCAAGGUAAGGUAUAGUAAGAAGACUCACCUCGCGUAUCUCGGCAACUCAUAAAUCCCGAAAAUCACUAGUGCUCGAUCUCCCGAGUUAUAGUCCUCCUAUAACACAAGUAUAUCUCUAAUUAACACUAUCCCAACUAUGGUUGACUAAUUCUACCAAGUCAACACCAGUCAACUCUGGUCAAUGGUCAACGGUCAACCCAACUCGCCGAGUCUGGCGUGGACUCGCCGAGUCCCUACGGGGACCCGAUUCCUCUGAAUCCCUUCCGACUCACUGAGUCACUCACCCAACUCGGUUACUCAACCCCUGGUUCGAAAACACAGAACAACUCGCUCCAACUCGUCGAGUCUGCCAAUGGACUCGACGAGUGCAUUCCAUGCACAACCCCAAACGACCUUCUGAGGUCAGAUCUGUUCCACUAACUCAUAGAUCCAGUCUUUCCAAGCUCAUUUAUCACGUAAAGUUUAUGUCUUGGCGCUCAUAUCACACCUAUUGACUCAUAAGUGGUGUUUUAACCUCAAACACAAUGAUCCCAAACCAAAACCUCCAUAGACUCAUAUAAAGCUUGGAUAAAGAGGCACUCUAGACCUCCAUGGGUCCAGAUCCAGAACCUAAUUCGCUUAAGGGACCAUGGGAGCACUAGAUCUAGUCACAAAAGGGCUCAAUAAGCCCUAAAUCAACAUGAACAUCACCACAACAUAAAAUGGUUCGAAAAUAGUACCUCAAACGUGAUGUUCUGGACCUCAGAUCUUCAGGAAGUUAACCCUCUUGCUUCCUCUUGGCUAUAGCUUCCUUUCCCUUGCUAGACAACACCUCCAAGGUCGACAAUGGCUCCUUCUCUCACUCUGAACGCUCAAGCUCACUAGGGUUUCGCUCUGGGGGCUGGUGAGCACAAAUGACGGCCAUAAGACCCCUUUAAAUAGGUCCCAGACCUGAGAAAUUAGGGUUUCAUUAAACAGCACGGACUCGCCGAGUCCACCAAUGCGACUUGGCGAGUCCGGUCAUUAAUCCGGGUGAGAAAUCGCGUCUCUACUCGGCGAGUCUACGCACCAACUCGCCGAGUUCUUCCACAAAACUUGAAAUAAAAAGAAUAGAUAUAAUACCUGAAAUUUCGGAUGUUACAAUGUGAAAUGAAAUGCCUUUUGAAUUAUGUUAAGUCCAAUAAAAUGUUUUGAUAUGGAAUAGAAUAUGGAAAAUGUCUUAUGAAAUGAUAUAAUAUGAUAUGUUAUGUUAUGUAUGAGACAAUUUACAUGAAAAUACUUUGAAAUAUUUUUGAUAAAAAUAUGAUAAACGUUUUGGGUCGCAAACCCACGUAUCUCAUGAGAUAUUAUUGUUAAGUAUCUUUUUUUAAUGUCGUAUAUCAAAGGUUGCACUUAAGGAGAAAAUAUGAUAUAUGAAAGUUAUAAGUAAAGAGAUAGAGAAUGGUGUGGAACUUGUUAAGUUCCUUAUUUAUUGUAUUGAUGUUAUCCUUAUUUGCUUGCUAUUGUUUUAUUGAUGUUUAAUAGUAUCACACAAUGUUUUAACUGUAAAUGCUUUUAUGGUACCGAGUUUUUAUUAAAUGCGGGUUAAUUCUUGAAAAGAUUUUAUAACCAUAACUUUGAAACAGUUUGAAAAUUUUGGGGUGUUACAAUUUGGUAUUAGAGACAUAGUUUAAGUGAAUUAGGGGUUGUUUGGCAGGAUCAAAAUUUUAAGAGGUAUGAAUUCUAAAAAUGUCUGAAUUUUUAAGAUCCGAAUUUUAACAUGUUGUUUGGUUGGAACCUCUGAAUUAUUGUGUUGAAUGAUGAAAAUGAUCAUUUUAACCUUCUCUAUUAUUAGUUUUUUGCUAAAUUUAAUGCUUCCAUUUUAAAAAAUAACUAAACCAAAUCCUCGAAUAAUUACAAAACAAUUAAACACCAUACAAAAAACUAGACGGUGCAAAAACUUAUAUAAGGUUCAACAUCUAAGAUUUAAAGUAUCGAAUAACAAAUAUCUUUCUACUCAAACAUGACACCAAAAAAUUUCUUCAUACAAUACAUCAUACUUCUCAACUUCAACCAUUUUACACACAACGAACGUCCUUUAUUGAUAAACAAAAACCUUAAUAAUCUACCGGUUUUGAAUUUGAUUUUUUGAUUCAAUGAUAUGAAUGCUUAAGCAUCAUAUAAAGAUUGACAAAUGUUUGUUAAAUUUCAUAACAUUCAAACAUAAAAUAGUUACAAUUUUGGACAAAAAUAAUGAAAAAUGUUGUUAACAUAAAGGAAAAAACCCACACACAACAAGUGAAAGUUGAUCAAUUCCUUGCAAAUCCCUGUUGCUUGGGGUGGUUUCUAAACAACUUGCACAAAGCAUGUCCUGAUAAUCAUAAAAAUGCACAUAAUACACAUGAAUUCAUAAUAUAUCCAAAUCAGUAACUGUGAAACUCUAAUUUAAUUAUGAAAUGGAGUCAAACAUAAGUAUGUUACUCGAAAAGAAACAAAUAAAGAGUAAAGACAUCCAACAAUCAAUACUAUACUUAAUCCUACCGGUAGAUCAUCCAAUUCAAACUUCAUGAACUUUUUUGCAAAAUCAACAAAUAAUUUCAUCAAAUCUGGAGGAUAAUUUCAAAUUUUUUGCACUAGAACAUAAUUCGGCCCAGUGAAAAAAAAUUCAACAAAAUCAACACAAAUUCCUUAACACCAUAACAUAACUCCAUCAAAUAAUUUUAGCGAUUCAGCAAAAUCAGCACGAAUAAUAGCCUGAUUUUAACCAGAAAUCGGCGAUUCAGCGUAUUUGGGGGAGAGAGAAAAAAGUAAAACUGAAGAACGGUACAUACCUAAAGCGACUUAUUCUGCCCUUCGACCUCCUUCUCUAUUUGUGUUCCUGUUUCUACCGUACACCAAAGAUCAAGUAGGAGUCAGUUUUCUCCCAUGCUCAAUUGAUGGUGGCCGGAUUUGUGCGAUGGGCGUCGGUGCUAUGUGACGUCAGAGAUACAGGAAGAAGAGGGAUGGAGGCUGGUGUUCGGUGGAUGAAAGAAGAAGAGAAAGGGACAACAAGGGUAGGGCAAAAAGGGCAACACACCUUUUAUGGUUACAUGUCUGACCGAAUAAAUGAUGAUUUUAAGAUUCAGAUGCCAAAAUAAGUUAUAAACAAACACCAAUAAAUUCAGACCUAUAUCUUAUUAAGAGGUAAUACAAGGUAAAUAAAGAGGGCCUGAGGAUUGUAUCAUUUCACUCCUUGGCUUAGACUUUAGUUAUGGAAAGUGUGAAUGAGUUACAGGAUUGCUAUACCUUAAUUAGAUAGAAUCUUAUGCAACAUGUGACAGAACUGAAUUAUCAUGCUAGAUGUUUUAUGAAGCUCUAGAUAAGUUAGAUGAACUUAUAGAAUGCUAUAUUGAAUGCUUUUUAAAGUGAAUUUUGGACAAUAUAGACCAAUGGAUCAAAGUCUUUAAGUGGUAAAAUCAAGUUCGGUUAUAUAUAUGAUUUGAGUAUAGUAUAGGGCCAUACUAUUAUAAAUAAAUGAUAGAUACCCGAAUUGAAUAUAGCGGUACUCACAUUUUUUAUGAGAUAAAGUGAUAAAUAGGAAAGCAACAAUCGUGUUAUGAAAACUGAAAAGUACAAGUGGUAUUCAUAUUUCCAACCAAUAUCAAAAAUAUGUUGAUGGUUAUACAAUAUGAAAACGGAGACUAUAGCAUUGUUCUGAUUAAAUGAGUACCUUAAACUAUAACGCACAUAAUAAUAUGCUUAUAAUUCAAAUACAAAUAGUCUUCGAAGCAUAACUCAGUGAUUACGAAAUGCCCUAAGAUAAUUUAAGAGUUUAUAAUAGUAGAGACUAGCACAAAACCGACUUUUCUUCCUUUGGGUAGUUUGUCUUUACACUAAAUGCACUUCUCAGCAUCCAAAAUCAUCGUCAACAAAAGAGCAGCAGAACAACAAUGUUUAUCCAUCCUCCAAAUCUGCACUACACUCCUUAAUCUCAACCAAAUUCAUGCACAGAUUCUCAAACUGGGUCUCCAAAACAACCCACUAGUCCUCACCAAAUUCACUUCAACAUCAUCCGAUCUCAAUGCCAUUGACUACGCUUCAUCCAUCCUAUUCUCUCCGGAUGCUAAAACACAUCUCUACGAUACUUUCCUUUACAACACCGUCAUUAGAGCUUACGCGCAAACCCAUCAAUCCAAGAUCACAGCUGUUGAUAUUUACAAAACCAUGGUUUGGAAUGAUGUUACCCCUAAUAAGUUCACAUACCCAUUUGUCCUCAAGGCCUGCGCGGGUGUGGGGAGGUUACGUUUAGGCGAAUCGGUUCAUAGUAAGGUUGUGAAGUUUGGGUUUGAUGAGGACAUACAUGUCUUGAAUACUAUGGUUCACAUGUAUUGUUCUUGUGGUGAGGUUGAUAAUGCACGAGUCGUGUUCGACGAAAUGCCUAAGUCGGAUUCUGUAUCCUGGAGUGCAAUGAUCGGUGGGUACGCACGCAUGGGAAGGUCAACCAGUGCUGUUGAGUUGUUUAGAGAGAUGCAGAUUGCUGGGGUUAAACCCGAUGAGAUCACCAUGGUUUCUGUUCUCUCUGCCUGUAGUGAUUUAGGCGCUUUAGAGCUUGGAAAAUGGGUUGAAAACUAUAUAGAAAGAGAAAAGAUUCCAAAAAGCAUCGAACUUUCUAAUGCCCUUAUUGAUAUGUUCACUAAAUGUGGCGACAUGGAUAAAGCUUUAAGGCUAUUCAAAACCUUGGAUCAUAAAACCAUCGUUUCUUGGACUUCUGUGAUUGUGGGCAUGGCAAUGCAUGGACGUGGGUUAGAAGCUGCUUCAUUGUUUGAAAAAAUGAAUCUUUCUGGGGUCCCACCAGAUGAUGUCACUUUUAUCGGGUUGCUUUCAGCUUGUAGUCAUUCAGGUUUAGUCAACGAAGGCCAAAAGUACUUUGACUCCAUGACUUCAAACUUCCAUAUAAAACCCAAAAUCGAGCAUUACGGAUGCAUGGUUGACCUUUUCAGUAGAGCAGGAUUAGUCAAAGAGGCACUAGAAUUUGUUACCAAAAUGCCCCUUGACCCAAACCCGAUAAUCUGGAGGACGUUGACCGCAGCAUGUCGUCUCCACGGUCAACUCAAUCUCGGUGAAACCAUCACAAAAAAGCUGAUCGAAUACGAGCCGUUGGAUCAAUCUAAUUAUGUCUUGCUUUCGAAUAUAUACGGGAAAAUGUCGGAUUGGGAAAAGAAAAAGAAAAUCAGAGACGUGAUGGGCGAAAAGGGAAUAAAAAAGAUUCCCGGGAGUACAAUGAUAGAACUAGACAACAAGAUGUAUGAAUUUGUUUCGGGUGAUAGAACACAUGAUUUAGAUAAAGAGAUUCAUGAGAUGAUUGAUGAAAUGGGGUGGAAGAUGAAGAUGGCUGGAUAUGUUGCUACUACUUCAGAGGUGUUACUUGAUAUCAAUGAAGAGGAUAAAGAAGAUGCUUUGAAUAGACAUAGUGAAAAAUUAGCUAUUGCAUUCGCGCUUUUGAAAACGCCACCUGGCACUCGUAUACGCAUUGUGAAAAACUUGCGUGUUUGUAGCGAUUGUCAUUCUGCAACAAAGUUUGUUUCCAAGAUUUAUAAUCGGGAGAUUGUUGUUAGAGAUAGAAAUAGAUUUCAUCACUUUAGAGAUGGGAUUUGUUCAUGUAAAGACUUUUGGUGAAACUUGAUGUAAUUUGCAUAACAUACUAAACUUGCAUUUUACAUGAUUACAUAACAACUAUCAAGAUCUUUCUUUAACUCGACAUAAACAUUAAUUCUAUAAUUAAUCAGCUUGAUCCUAACCUUAAACCACGAACAAUGUCGGGUUAACACAAUGUAUAAUUCGUGCAAACAUUUAAUGUAACAAACAAGUUGCACUAGGUUCUGUAGAAGAACUUGCCCCAUAAGCAUUGUUGCAACGUGCAAUUGUAUUUUCUCCAGUCACAGUUGAUGUUAUGUUAAUCUGAUCCAAAGAAAUACCAGAACAUGCUACUUUGUUACUGCAGUCAAAAUUUAUUGCAGUUCGAGAUGAUGAUGUUCCUUGAAAUAAUCUGUAAGUUAUAUCACUAAUCUCCACUGCUGAACCCUGCAAAUCAAAAAUUAUAAGCUCAUAAUUCAAUUUUUUAAGUGAUUAUUAUUUGAAAAGGUUUUACCUCUGUAGGGCAAUUAUUUCCACUAGGACAAUAGUAUUGAUCCACAAGUAUCGGGUUAUUCACAUCAUGAAGUGUAAUUUGCUCAAAUGUGAUAUCUCUGGCAUAUCCAGAUCCUCCCUAUAUGAUUGUGGAUAACAAUGUUUAACAUUGACUAUUUAUGAUGAUGAGAGAAAAAAAUUGUAAUUUUUGUCUUACUGACACCGAUACAAUUUAAGCUGACAAACACAGUAUACCCUAUUACCUGCCAUGUUUUGAUUCUUGCUCCGUUUUGUGUUCCGGUGAAGUUGCAAUUUCGUACGUAAACACCUUCCACAGUAUCAUAUUCCCCAUUUAUGCCUAAACUUCCGAUGCUACAAAGAUUAAAGAAAAAAAUAACAAUAAGCGACAACAAAUAUUUGACCCAUAACAUUGAUCCGACCCGACUUUGAAUUUUACCUUAUACCAUGGCCCGGACCGCAAUUUAUGCCCGUAAUAUUGAUUUGAGAGGAUCCGUUGAUUAGAGCAAUACAAUCGUCACCUAACAUUUUAUAGCACGAAAUGUUGUCAUGUAAUAUAACAAAAUGUGAAGGUAAACCAAAGACAACGAAUAUUAUAUGAAGUAUGUACCAGUUUUAAUAACGGAAUCGUUUAUUUGUAUGUAGGUUGAGAUUGAGACGUCGAUUCCAUCAGUGUUUGGGCUAUUUGCAGGUGCAACUAUGUCUAAAUUUGAAAUAAUUGAAUUACUGCAUCUGUAUAGACCGAUAUGAUUUCUAGGGCUAUCAAGAUGCUUAAGUUGUCUUAAUCGAAGCCCAUAGCAUUUUUCAAAAUGUAACGCCUACAUACACAUUGCAAAAAAACUUACUAUUAUGGUGUCAACAUUCACAAUAUAGUAAGUACAACACUGUUAUGUAGCAACACGUUUUUAGUGUAUGUUUAAUUAAUAACGUUUAUUAAACAAGAUACUUACCGUUGGUGGUAUUGAACAUGUAGAUUCUUCUGUUAUCUACAAAAAAAAAUAUAUUAAAUCAGUAUAAUUAUAGUUUUAAAAAUCAAUGAUUGUGAAUAUUAUCUAAAAAAAGAAGCUAAAAUGCAUGUACAUCAGACAGAGAUUUGGUCCACCAAGCACUGCCACGACCAUCGAUAGUACCACCACCAUCGAUAAUAAGAUUGUUAACGUCAUAAAAUAAUAGCCAUGCCCCGGUUUCACAACUACCCCAUGAACUAGGGUUUUCAGGGGCAAUGAUUGUACCCAAUAUCUGCUCAACAUAGUAAAUGUGAGUUUAAUGAUGGUUUGCGACUUUGUGUGUUUUUUGUUCUUUUAUAACAAUUUGAUGUAUUUGAAAUAUAACAAAAAGAUUUUGUAUGUGAAAUAUAAGUUUGUAUUUUGGGAGGGGGGAUAGGAUUACCAGAAAAUGGAUAUUUGGAGAUUUACACGGGCCUUGAAAGCUGAUCGGGCCCACUAAGAAGGUUUGGGCCGAUGGUAUGAUCAUCCUUGACAUUGGUCCAACAUCAUUACAUAACUCUUGCCAAGCUUCUUCAAAAGCCUUGUUGCAAACAUUAAAUUAAACAACAAAAAGAUAAACUCAUUGUAUUUUAUUAGGUAAACACUUGGGAUUUGUUAAAAGCUUAUUCAAACAAUUACUAUUUUUAAUGCUUUAUUUUAAAAAAUAGAUUAUUCUUUUGAAUAAUUUAUUUUUUAAGACAUGAAAUUUAUGGAAAAGAAGUGUAAAUGAUCGUAUAUACCUUUGUAUUAUCAGUCAUUCCAUCGCCCUUGGCGCCAUAAUUCAUUACAUUAUAAGCACCACCAUGGCUAUGAUGUAACAAACAAAGCAAUAACAUGAUAAAAAGUAGCAUUUUUAUUCUACUUAUUAUACACAUAUAUAAUAUUAAGAAUGACUUGUGCAUGAAAUACAAUUCUCUGGUAUUGUGUAGUUUCUUUUCUUGAUCAAUAGUUGGUGAAUAUUUAUACAUAUUUGAUAUAUGUAUGUGUUGAAUGAAGUGAGGGAAGAGUCCAUGAUUUUGACUUGAAAUUUAAUGUUUUAAAACUUCCAAAAGAGAAAACAAGAUGUUGAAACUAGAAUCUAAACUUUACAUAUUAAAGAAUAUCAAGUAUCAACGGAUAUUCUCCAUUUCACCAUUUUUUGUUUUAUUACUCUAUUUGUUUGAAAUAUCAAACGUCUUUAAUUUCAAAAUCGUGAAAUAAGUAAUUUUAUAUGUAGUUCCAAAAACGGCAUUUGUCUAAUGAAACUUCAACACAUACUUUAUUUGUCUUAAAGGAAUAAUACCAUUUGGGUAAACUGUGAGAUUAUUUGUAACACAUCUAAAACAUCAUUCACUAAGUUACUAAAAGCAUUGUCUUUUACCUUUUAUGAAAUGUCAAAAGCGUGAAGUAUUUCGAUUUUUAUUCAACAAAAGUCGAAUCUUUUUUUGUCAUUUAUGAUAAAUCAGAAAUAAUGACCCUUACCUUGUUUUCUUUUACUGUUAUUUGGAAUAUAUGUUUCUUAUUGCAGCCGAUAAAAUUAUGCGUUAAAUUCAUAAAGAUUUUGUUUAGGUAUCUUGUGAUAAUACUUAAUUUUGUAUUUUUCAGGAUUAAUAAGUUUAACAUAAUUAGCUAUUUAUAAUAUCUAUUUUAGUCCAUACCAAAUUUACUUUGCUCUUAAAGUCCUUUUAAUUUAGUUUUUCAUUUCAAUUUAUGUAAAAACAAGAUUUGAACUGAUCACACGAUGAUUUAGCAUUAGCAUGACUGUUAUCGACACAACGUGACUAUCUUUUGACAUGAAUUAAUCUUGAUGUAACAUUUCACAUUCAAAUUUUGUUUUAUUGUUUGUUACCAUCAUUAAACAAAACACCACAUCUUUAUAUCAUCAUGUUAAACCAUUGUAAUAACACAAGUAAGAAAGGAUGCUAAAGAUCUACAUUUCCAACUACAUAAUACAUUAUAAACCAGAUAUGAUCACAAUGUCAAUCAAAAAAGGGAAAAAAGUCUACAAAUGGUUUACAAAAGUUGCUACAGAAUAAAACAUACGAAAAGGUGAACAUAUGCAAAUUGAUGCAACAUCAUAAACCAUUAAUUGUCAACUAUUCCUAAGAAGCACUGCAAGGACACAACUAAACAUCAGUCACAAUUUCCGUAAAAAAAACUGUAAAACAAGUGCAUUAGGAGUGGCAGAAAAAGUAAUUUGAUGGGUAAAUAAUACGUACUAUAUGUAUAGUAUUUAUCUAAUCAGGAAGCUCUUUAAUAUCCACUUCAACUUUUCUUGAAUCUAAUCAUCUAUAAUCACUUAGAAGUUGUUUGGCAACCUCUGAAUGAUUCAAAGGUUUGGAUCCGACUCUAAAUGAAAACAUGUUGUUUGGUAAAACUGCUUAACGGAUAUAUUGAACGUGAAUAAUUAUCAUUUUACCUUAUUGUUUAAAAGUAUUAACAAACACCAACAAACCAUCCAAAAAAUAAAAUAUUCAUACCAUCUUAAAAUUGACAAAAAGUCAUCACAUGAAAUAACAAAAGGAUUCUUUCAAUUCACCAUUCAUGAACUGCUAUACUACUAUUCCAUACCGAAUUACCACAUGAAAUUGCUAUACUACUAUUGCAUACCGAAUUACCACAUGAAAUAGCAAAAUGAUUCUCAAUUCAGCUUUUAUGAAAUAACAUUCAUACCACACAAAAAAUCUCUCUUUCAAUUAGUUUUCAUGAAAUAGCAAAAGGUUCCGCAAAUGGAAAGUAUAACAAUCACCACUACGAGUGAUAUCGUUGAAACAAAAGGACCUUUGACGAAGCCAUGCAUGCUUACUCAGACAUGAAAGUUCAAACUCUAUCGACAGAUAACUAAGACAUGUGAAUGCAAUGGUGCUCUAUCACAUGAUCAAAAAAUUCAUAGGAGGAAGGCGAAGAUAAGCUUCAAGAAGCCGAACAUACACCCAACCUUUCCGCUUGGAGAAUACAUGAUACUUGCAAGAGUAGAGAUGUCUACGAUGUCUAUCGACGACAAUUAUAGGGAAUAACACACUCUAUUGAAUUCGGAGUAACCGUAGACACAACGAUAACUAAGUGAUCACCAACCAUUAUCAAAGAAUCCGAAGACGAGCAUCCCAGAAAAAACAUAGUACGUAAAUGGUAAAGAAAAAAUAACUAAACUGAUAGAUUUUUUUUAUUUAAAGAGGGGGUGAUUUGGGCGGUACUAUGAUAUCACGCCCAUUAGGCCAUUACCAUUGAUGUGAUGAGACGACCAUUCCGUAACUGAAACAACGGUUUGGUGUCCCAUGUGCACAUGCAUUAAUACACCUUAGAAAGUGGGUACAACUGUAAAAGAAACAAUUAAAAAUGGGCACACUCUAGUUUCGAAUAACAUAGCACGAUUAACACUCACUUAGGGGCUGUUUGAUUUAAGCUGACCGGGUCCAGUCAGUGUUGACUGCUGACUCGGUCAGCAGUCGGAUGUUUGAUAAAUACAAAAUAAAGCUUACUCGGUCAGCCCAUUACUCUUACCCGGUAAGCCAAAAAAACCCUCCUGACUGGAAAAGCUACGCGUUUUCUUUUUGUCAUUUGCCCUCACUCGCCUCCUUCGCUAUCGGUAAUAACCUAGACAGUAGACAUCAGCCGUCUUCUUCUUCUCCAUCGCCAAGUGCUGAUCGCCUCCCUCCUCAUCUUCUCCGGCGACGACGCAGCCCAUCUUCUCCGGCGACGACACUGCGCGACUUCUCCGGCAACGACAAGGUAACUGCGUGUUUUUUUUUUGCUUUAUUUGAUCUGAAAUCACAAAUUGCUGCUCCCUAAUACAAAUUUCUUCUCCUGCUCCUGCUUCCCUAAUAUAAAUUGCCGCUCGUUCUUCCUCUUCCUCUUCGUUUUUUUUUUUUCUGAAAUCACACAACCCUUCAUGUUUGCUGUCAAAUUGAUGAUUUCAUUUUGAAAUCAAAGUUUGCAAUGUGUGAAACAUCAAAAAUCACAGCCCCUUAUAUAGUUGUUUUAUAUAGUUGUUAAAUCACAGCCCCUUCAUGUUUACUAAUGUGUGAAAUCAAAGUUUGCAAUGUGUAUAACAUCAAAAAUCACAGCCCCUUAUAUAGUUGUUUUAUAUAGUUGUUAAAUCACAGCCCAAUCAUGUUUACUAAUGUGUGAAAUCAAAGUUUGCAAUGUGUGUAACAUCAAAAAUCACAGCCCCUUAUAUAGUUGUUUUAUAUAGUUGUUAAAUCACAGCCCCUUCAUGUUUACUAAUGUGUGAAAUCACAGCCCUUAUAUAGUUGUUUUAUAUAGCUGUUAAAUCGAAUGAAUUGUGUACUGUGUGUAUAUGUUAUGUUUAUGUGCAUAUGUGUGUAACAUCAAAAUGCUCAAGACAAUGAUUAGAAUUUGUUACAUAGGUAUAUAUGCAUUACCAAACUGAUAUAUGAGAUCUUGUCUUCAAGUUAUGUACUGUGUGUAUAUGAUAUCUCCCAAGUCUUGUCUUCAAGUUGUAUUAUCUUUAGGUUAAACAAAAAAAUAUAUGUUUUAUCUUAUUGACAUCAAACAAAUAGUGUUAGCUAUUUGUAAAUGUGUGUUAUGUGGAUGAUUAUUUUUUUUUCUUUUUACAAUAGACAUGACAGAUAAAAGAAUUAGGGUUAGUUGGAAGUCGGAAUUGGUGGACAAAACUUUUUUGGAAGCAUGUAUACAAGAAUUAACAAGCAAUGGCCGGGAGGGUAGCGGACUAAAAGCAAGCUCAUGGGCUGUGGUCGCGGAGAAAUUGAAAACAGAUCAUAAUUUUAUUGUCGACAAAAAACAAAUGAAAAACCGAUACGACUAUUUAAAAGCAAAGUAUGCAGUGUGGUUAAAACUUAAAAACAAAACAGGAAAUAUUUAUAAUCCCGUUACGAAUUCUUUUAACAUGACUAAUGAAGAAUGGGAAGCGGAAGCGAAGGUACAUAUAUACAUAUUUUUUAAAGUAGAUUAUUUUUUUACUACUUUAAUAAUAUUUAUUAAAUUUGUCAAACAGUUGAACAAGUAUGUAGAUAAGCUGAGAAAUGCACCCCUCCCUUGCCCUGAACUUUGUACCCAACUAUUUGAUGGGGCAACCUCGACCGGUGUUCACAGUUGGGGGCCAUCUUCGACAUUACCUCAUCCCAAUGAAACCUUCAGUACACAUGAUUUUGAGGAUACAGAGAUGGAUGAGCCAGCACCUCAUGCAGAUACCCCAAGCUCAACAAUACCUCAACCUACUAGUGAGGAAUCAUCUGGGCGGACAAAAAACAAGGGAGGCAAACGAAAUGGUCCUAAAGAAACCACACUUGAUGAUGAGUUGAAAGAAGUUGGAAAAGAGAUUAUCAAGGCUGCACAAGCAUUCACCGAAGCAAAUAAUCUUGACAAGGAGAUGGAUGCUUGUAUGGCGAAGUUGACAUGCUUGGAGUGGGGAGAAUAUGAUCCGAAAUACACCACUGCUCUUAUGUUAUUUGCUGAAAGUGCUGGUAAUAGGAAAAUUUGGUUGCGCCUUAACUUGUCAACUUGUGAGUCGUGGGUAACAAAUGCGGGAAAAAAAUUUGGAUUAGUUGGUUGACUUUAGUAUUUACAUGUUACGUUUGACUUUAGUAUGUUAUGUUUCAUUGUUUGACUUUAGUAUGUUAUGGUUUAGUUAUGUUAUGGAUUGUUUUUCUUAGGUGCGGUUAUGUUAUAUGAAUUUAUAUGUUAUGGAAUGUUAUGUUUUUCGUAUUUACAUGUUACGAUUUGUUAUGUUAUGGUUUGUUAUGUUAUUGAUUGUUAUGUUAUGGAUUGUUAUGUUAUUGAUUGUUAUGUUAUUGAUUAAAAUGUAAUUUGUAUUUGACAUCUAACAGGACACAUGGAUAAAGAAGGUGACUUUUUAUAUUUUCUUAUAUUCUCGUGGUAUUGGUUGAUGUUGGUCCGACAAAGGCAAAGAAUAAUUAAAAGAAUAAGAGCUAGCGAACAGGUAGCAAAGGGAUAUGUGUAUACGCAAGAUUUGAUACACGGAUGUCCUAUACAAUGUUACGAUAUGAUACGUCUUUCACAAGAUGCAUUUGUACUAUUAUGCAAUCACUUUACACAAAGAAAUUGGUUGCAAUCUAGUAGGACGAUAAGCGUUGAAGAGAAGAUGGCUAUGUUUUUACAUGUUAUAGGACAUAAUGAACGUUUUCGAGCCGUUAAAGAAAGAUUUCAUCACUCCACACAAACGAUUCAUCAAUGUUUUCAUGAGGUCUUACGUGCAAUGAUGUGUUUUGCACGAGAAAUUAUAGUACCAACCUCGUCUAAUUCAACAACAAAUACCUCAGAACGACAUAGACGGCUAAUGCAGAUAUUUCCCGGAGCAAUAGGUGCACUAGAUGGAACACUUGUACAUGCAGUUGUGCCUGUUGAUCAACAAACUCGUUAUAGGGGAAGAGGAAAAGGUGAAUGUUAUCAAAAUGUAAUUGGAAUUUGUAAUUUUGAUAUGAUAUUCACCUUUGUAUGGGCUGGAUGGGAGGGCAUAGCACAUGAUUCUAAAGUUUUGAAAGAAGUUGCAUUUAACCCAACUUCCGGAUUUCCAUUCCCUCCACCAGGUUUGUAACUUUACUAUACGUUUUAUUAUCUAUAUUAUUUAUAUGAUAAAUUUGUCAUGCAUCUACAGAUAAAUAUUACCUUUGUGAUGCCGCAUACACCAACACCCGUGGAUUUAUGGCUCCCUACCGCAAUACUAGGUAUUGGUUAGCCGAUUUUCGAAGAAACAGAGCUUUGACUAAGGAAGAAAUGUUCAAUCAUGCUCAUGCACAACUUAGAAAUUACAUUGAACGUGCUUAUGGUGUGUUGAAGGCGAGAUUUCCAAUUUUAAAACAAAUGGCUCCUUAUCCUUUUCCAGUGCAAAGAGACAUAGUCAUUUCUUGUGUUGCGGUCCAUAAUUUUAUAAGGAAAUACGAUAUUGAAGAUGAAUUAUUUACGAACUUUGAACAAAACACUAUGGUUAGUCAUAAUGUGGGUGGUGGAGGAAAUGAGGGUCAAAACAUAGAAGGCAUAGAAUGGGGUUCAGAAGCCGUUAACUAUAUGACUAAUUUGCGUGACCAGAUUGCUAAUCAGUUAUUUUCAAAUGGUUCACGUUAAAUGGUGUACUUUUUUUAUUAUGUAUGACAAUUUGUAUUUGGAUUUUGUAUUACACUUUGUAUUUGGAUUUUAAUUGAUGUAUGUUUAAUUUGGAUUUUAUAUGAUAAUUUGUGGUUUUAUAAUUUUUUUAUCCAGCACAAGAGACAACAUAAGGGUAAUAUGGUCAUUUUUUCAUUCAGCACAACCAUUCAGAUAAAUAAUCAAACAACAUAAACUCAGUCAGAUAUGGACUCAGUCAGCAUUUCUAACCCAGUCAGCUUCUAACCCAGUCAGCUCUAACCCAGUCAGCAACUAUCAAACGACCCCUUAGUCAUCCUAUGGGACUUGAUAGGGCCCUACCUUCCGGACAUCGAAAAUCUUGUUAUUCCCAUAUUUAACCCCAACAUGUGGACCUAUUCCUGAGAAAUAAUAACAGGAGUAACAUGAGUUGGCAUACAAUAAGUGUUGAAAUAAUUAAUAUUUCAUUAUUAUUCUACAAACUAAACAAGGUGAAUCAAAUAUUAUAAGAUAUUGAUUUAUUUUGGUUAAGUGUAGGAAAAGAAGGACCAAAAGUGUUCAAAUAGGAUGUUGUUUAAGCUGAAGGUUGUUGAAACGGGAUGAAGGUGAGUAGAAGAUGGAAUUCAUGGCAUGCAUUGUUGGGGAGCAGUAAGUAGGGUGAUGGUGGAGAACCAGAUUCCUUAUAGAUCAUGUAAGUUCACUUACCAAACUGAUAUUUUCACCUUAUGUCUGGGUUACAGGAAAUCAAGUCUAGGAUAAUCCAAAAAAGACACUUGUGUAUCUUGGUACAUAAACACAAGCCAAAAGAUGAGUCCUAUAUAUGCAUGACAAAUUAGGGUUUCUAUCUUCUAAAUUAGUUAGGAGAGUCACAAAUUUAACAACUUAAUCAAUGGUUUCCAAAACUUACAACAAUUUUCAAUCUUACCGUAAUUACCCUACUAGAAUUUGGUUUUUCCAUAAUGAAAAUAAUUCAAAUUUCCGAAGACCUUUUAAGGUGUUACCCUAAACCCCUUAGGGACGUUGACCCUCGAUCGCCAAGGGCUCUGUCUCUUGGACCCUGAUAGGGGCGUGACCCCCUUAACCCCCUACGUUUUGCCGUAUUGGCUUAUAAUUUGAUCUUUUAUAUGCAUGCAUUAUGCGUUCACCAAACAUAUAAUAUAGAGUACAAAUAAUAAGCCUUUUAGUUCACAUGUUAGUUUCAAUUACCCAAAAUGCCCGAUAACACUAAAAUCACCAACAUGCAUCUCAUUAUCUCAAAGUUGUGAAGAAUGAAAAAGGUUAUUUUCGAUCCGGGUCAUAUUGUUGGAUCAACCUUUGAAUAUCAAGAGAAUGACUUAGGAUUAUCUAUAAUUAAAUUAAUAAUCAAUUAAUUUAAAUUAAAAAUAAACCAAUUGAUUUAAGAUUUAUCUAUUAAUUAACAUUUACUUAAAUAUAUUAAAUCAAAUAAGGAUUAUCUAAUUAAAUUAAUCAAAUAAUUUAAUCCUAAUCCUUACCCUCUAAAUUUUCGAAAACAAGGGUAUAAGAUUUAUUCCAAUUUUAAUUAUCUAUAUUUAGGCAAGUAAAAUGAUAAUUAAUAAAAUUUGAAAAACCCUAAUAGCCUACCAUAUUUCAAAAAUACUUGGGGGGGAGGCUAGGGUUUCAAAACCCUAGCCCUAAAUUUCGAAAACUUGGGGAAGGGGGCUAGGGUUUCUUAAACCCUAACCCUAGUCGAAAUUAAUGACCUUUUAAGGUUUAAUUUCUAUAACCCCUAAUUGAUCUAUUCUUUUAUUAUAGUUAUUUAACAGAAAACAAACCAAAUGCUCUAAUACCACUGAUGGGUUUUAGGCAUAACAAACAAACCUAAAACUCUUAAGAGUGCAUGCAACCUAAAACAAGAUCUAUGUUUUCUCUAUUGAACCUAUAACUAAGAACAUCAAAAAGAAACCCUAAGAACCCUAGUAUAUUUUCGAAAAUACUAAAAAAGGUUUAGGAUUUCAUACCUUUUAGUUGUUAUAGCAAACAACUAGAAAUCUCUUUGAAGAUCUCUUGGAAGUAAGCACCACGAGUCUCGAGCCUCUAAUGGAAUCACACCCAACUAUCAAGAGAAAAAAUUAGGAGAGAGGAGGGAAUUUAGUCCAAAGCUUGUGGAGGAAAGGCAUUGAUAAAAUCAAGGGCCAAGAAUCUCUUUAUAUAGUUGAGGAAACUUGGUGCCAUAGCUAGGGUUUAAGGGAUAUGCCCUGGAUCCCUUUGCUUGGUGACCAAACAACACAAUCCCUUUACCUUAGGGUCUUGAACGAAAUCUCCUAGGGUUUCCCAAGAGAUUUUUUGUCCACCUCUUUCAAGAGGUUCUAGAGCCUUCCUUUCUCAAAUAUUAUUAAUAAAUAACAAACAGUCCCUGUACUUUUAAUUAAUCAAAUUAAUCCCAAAAAUAAUUCCAAUUAAUUUUUGAUUAAUUAUUAAUUAAAUAUUACUAUUUAUAAUUAGAGAAAAUGACAAAAAUAGCCAUUUACACUAAUUACAUUACAAAAAUAGCCAAAGAAAACCGAAGUUGCAAAAAUAGCCCUCAAUUUCGCAGAUGGAAUUGCGCCAUCUGCGAAAUGACCAUUCUAUCUGCGAAUGUACAAGCAGCCAAAACACAACUGUGCUUUAGCCGCUUGUACAUUCGUAGGUGUUUUUUUUUUUAAUUUUUUUUCUAUAUAUAUAUUGAAAAUGUAGGGUAAAAUCGCAGAUGGAAUAGCCCCAUCUGCGAUUUACUCUCAUUCCAUCUACAAAUUUGUGAUUUUUUUUUGUUUUAUUUUUUUUAGUUUAACUAUGAAAUCAAUUGGUUUGACUACGAAAUCAUGUUGCUAUAUAAAAAGUUUUGUAGAAAAUUAUCAGUUUGGUUGUUAUUUGUUUAGGAAGUUUCUCUAAAAUUUGUUCUAAAAAAUGAUUGAAUAUUUGGUUUGUCUUGUAACCGGUGGGAGAUGGCAAGUUAAUGGAACUAAUCUGGAAUACGUAUGUCCACAUGGAGGUAUUUCUGAAUUUGCUUUGAUAUUUUCUGAGUAUAUUAGUUAUAGUGAUUUUGUAUCUUUGGUAAGAAGCAAAAUUGGUUUGUUAGACAAAUAUAGAAUUAGUCUUCGUUUUCACCAUCCUGAAUUAAAUUAUUAUAUAGCUAUAGUUGAAGACAUGGAUGUUAGAAUGUUGAUAAACGUAAUCAAAUGUAGUGGAGGAAGGGUUGUGAAAAUGUUUGUGGUGGUUGAUGAAGUUGAGGAGGUUAAUAGGGGUGGUCAAACUAGAAAUCAGUUUGUUGGUAAUUUAUGCAGUUAUAAAGGGAGCAACGAUCUGAUAGGUACUUUCAAUACUCCUAGUGUACCUCAGUUUCACAGUGUUGCUGAAAAUGUUAAUAUUAGCUAUUCACCUAUUCACUAUGUGGAUCAUGAGAAUUACAAGUCUGUUGGUGAUGAUGAUGUUGGUACAUAUCUUAAUGAUGUGGGUGGUCGUUGUGAUGAUGUUGCCGAACAAGAAGUUAAAGUUAUGAAUAGGCGUGUGGUAGAUAAAACUAAAAAGAAAAAAAAUUCAAGUCAAAAAAAUGAAAAAAAUCAUGUUUACGGGCAUUAUGUUGAUGUUGGUGAUGUAUGUUUAGAUAUAACCGAGCUACAAAGUAAUUCCGAUAGAGAUGAGUUGGGUGAUGAAGUUAAAGCUAAGUUUCCCGAUAACCUUUUUCACGGUAUGCCCCCUGUACCAGCAUGGCCAGUUGAUAUUAAUGAAGAUAUCCCAACACAGAUGGUAGACAUGAAUCUUCAAAAGAUUCAAUGUGAGAGUAUAUUUAAGAACAAAGAACUUUUAAAGCGGUGUAUUGGUAAAAAAAUGUCUUCGAGAAGGUUUCCAGACGAGGACAAGUAGAUCCACCAAAUCAAGGUAUGAAGCUGUGUGUGUUUCGAAAAAUUGUUCUUGGUUACUAAGAGCAAAAGCAAUUAAAAAUUCUGAUGGACUUUUCCAAGUGAAUAAAUUUGUUGAUGUACACACAUGUUCUUCAACAUUGUUGCAACCUAAUCAUCGACAAGCAAACAAAUAUGUUUUGGGUGAAUAUGUUGCUGAUGUUUUGGCUGAAGACUAUAGUAGAGUUUAUCGGGGAAAAGAAAUUGUUAAUGAUAUGAAUGCUCAAUUGAAUAUCAAUAUCUCAUACCAUCAGGCAUGGCGUGCGAAGCAAUAUGCAUUGUUGUCGUUAAGGGGUACGAAAGAGGAUUCUUUUACCAAACUUCCGGCGUAUUGUCACAACUUGGCCAAACAUAAUCCGGGUACUGUCACACAUAUUAAAACAGAUGCUGAUGAUCGGUUUGAGUUUUUGUACGUCGCACUCGGUUGCUCGGUUAGUAUUAUCAUGUCCUAAUUUUUUUUUAAUAUUUAUUUUGGUGUAUUUGAAUAGAUAUACAAUGUAUUGUAGGUACGAGCUUUUGUCAAUUUUUGUAAGCCGACCCUAGUAGUAGAUGGAGCUCACCUAAAGGGCGAGUUCAAAGGUACCAUGCUACUUGCAGUUACUAAGGACGGACAAAAUCAAAUAUUACCGGUUGCAUAUGGUAUAUGCAAAAAUGAGUGUACUGAUUCUUGGACAUGGUUUUUUCAAAAACUACGUGAUUGCAUAGGAAAUAUGCAGGAGCUUACAAUUAUAUCUGAUAGGUCUCCAUCUAUAGCAACAUCCGUUGCCAACAUUUUUCCUCACGCUCAUCAUGGAAUAUGUGGUGUCCAUUUGUAUUUCAACAUAGUAUCUAGAUUCGGCAAGAGUAAGACGGUUAAAGGAAUUUUUUGGGAGGCGUGUAGGGCGUACACAGUUGAUGCUUUUGAUGCUGCCAUGGAUGUUAUGAAAAAGACAAAAGAACCAGUAUGGGAGUACUUAAAAAGUAUAAAUCCAGAAACCUGGUCAAGGGCACAUUUUAAAGGGAACCGAUACAAUCUUAUGUCGUCCAACAGUGCGGAGUCUAUAAAUGCAUUAUCUAGACACGCACGUAAGGUGCCAAUACUUAUGUUGAUCGAUUUUUUUCGUGUUACAAUGCAACAAUGGUGGUUUCAAAGACGUAACUUUGCAGGUAUUAAGUAAAUUUUUAAUAUUAAUGUUUUAUUAAUUUUGAUGUUAUUGAUCUUAACUUCUUCAUUUUGGUUGUUUCUUUAGCGGAAGCAACAACAAUACUUACCCCUUAGGCGGAUGAAAUUGUAAAAGAAAACAAGAAAACUUUUAGUAAAUGGGAUGUUCGCAUGAUCUCAAAUACGAAAUGCGAGGUCAAAAAGGGGGCACAAAAUGUGAUUGUUGAUUUUCAACAUAUGACAUGUACNGCACACCUGGCCGCACACACACAUAUAGUGUGUAUUUUGGCCAUACACCCUCUUGUAUAGCCUUAUAAACCCUCAUACAAUCAUAUAUGAUUGUAACACUUCAUUAUAAGUGUUUAGUAGUCCCUAAGGUGGUUCCAAAAUCAUUAUUUCAGUCGUUCAUAACACUAAUUAUAUUCAUAUAUAUGCCAAUAUAUGCUAAAUAGGAUUCGCGUGUGUACUUAAGCCACCACUUGAUGCUUAGCAACUGAUCCAACGUUUUCAUCAGAACCACUCACUACAGGUGAGUUCAUACCCCUUAAUCAAUGUUUUAAACUAUUUUUUAAAUGUUUUAUGGGGGAGGAUACAAGUAGAAUUAUGCUAAUUAUUAUAUCAAUCACAUGUGAUUAAUAAGCAGCAUUCAAAUGAUUGGCUACUCAUUAGCCGUUUUACUAAACAGUUUCCUUCAAAUGUAUUUCAUAAACACUUUAUGUGUCUAAAACUCCUUAUUUCUCUGUACAUUUUACUCUGUAUAUUACUUUUCAAACUUAUUUACAAUUGUGAUUCAAACAAAAGUUUCCUUAUACUAAAGUUGUUUUAUCAAACCCAUGCCUUCAAAACGUUUUAUAAAUUGACAUCAAGUCGAUCUUUUCUUAGAUAAUAAUUAUGUUCAAAGGUUUUACAAAACUUAUUUUAUGCUUUUAUAUUAUAAAUUGCAUGCCUCUAUAUGUAUAGUUAUAUAAGAAAUAUUUAAAAGACUUAGGACGACUAUCCACCCUAUUUCCUUUUCGCGCUUGAGAUGUGGUCUGUGGGGAUAUCGGGUACUCGUCCGAAGGUCAUUUAAAUAUUAGUUAUAUAACAUAUAUACAUAUAUAGUCAUAAAGGUCCUUCCAGUUCAUCCUAUGCCCUUGGGUAGCAAGGGUAUACAUCCAUGUCCAUACGUACCAGUUAGAUUACUAGUAAACUACCAUAGGGGUAGUUUAGGAAGAUACUAGAACCAUUACUAGAACGAAAUAUUAUACAAUGAGCCAGUUCAUUCAUGAGUCUUACUUUCUAGAACAUUACAAUACAUUACUAUACUUACUAGAUAGAGAGCACGUACACUACAGCUAGAACAUUACAGUACCUUACUAUACUAUUACAUAGAUAUGGUCACAUGUACAUGAGUACACUUACAGGAAUUACUAGUACACUUUAUAUGAAUAGAUUCUGUUAUAUAAUCCUUGUUCUUAUCUUUACCUUGUGAUUCAAUCACACAAUCGACAAGAUAAAUUGGAUUUAAUAUCCUAGUACCCAAGGAUACGUUGCGGGACUGACCAUUCCUAGAAUCUCUGUUAGCUACAGAGGUAAAAGCACAUCCACGGAUGUCAACGGUUGAUACCAUUACAGGUAUACUUUUGGAGACUGACUAUUCCUAUACCCAGCUGUUAGCAACAGAGGUAAAUGUACAUCUACGGAUGUCUUCAGUUAACAUUGUUAUUUGCCCGAGUACUAAAGGGUAAUACUAUUACAGUUAGGUCUUGGUAGAAGACUACAAUUAGAACAGUUAGGUCUUGGUAGAAGACUACAUUCAGAACAGUUAGGUCUUGGUAGAAGACUACAUUCAGAGCAGUUAAGUCUUGGUAGAAGACUCCUUUUGUUACUAGUAGGAAUCAUAGGGAUUUCUAGGGUUUUUCAAACGUUUACAGUUGUUUUACAAACAUGUUCAUACUUACAAUUCAUAUACAUUUUCAUACUUACAAUUCAUUUACAUUUUUAAUACUUACAAUUCGUAUACAUACAAAUACUUACAUUUCAAAUACAUACAAGUAUUUUCAUACAAAUUAAGACACUAAAAUUACUUAUGAUCUCACCAGCUUUAAAACUGAUACUCUCUUUCAAAAUUACUUGUAUCCUCAGGUCAUCAUAGACAGGUACCGAUGCAAGGAGAAAGGAAGAUGGAGCUUGUUCAAGACUCAUUUUUCAUUUUGAUUUAUGCUUUAGUGUUUAUCAAAAUUUGACAGAACACACUUGUAUCAAAAUUAUAUUAUUAAUGCAAUGGAUGAUGUUGUUGCUUGUUUACUACUUUUCAUUGUUGUGAUACUGUACAUGACGUCCUCCGCCCCAGAACGUUUCCACCGUUCAAUGGUUUUGGGGUGUGACAGUAGAAUCUAAAAAACAGUAUUUGAAUAGCUGUAUUGGUUGUUUAGUAAACUAUUUAUUUAACUUAAUGUCAAUUUAUAGUAGUUUCUACACAAAAUCGCAGUCCAAUCUUCUAAUAUGUCUGCAAUUCAUAGUCAAAAUUAACUGACGAAUGCAGUGUACUAUACUUAUAACACAACAGAUCAUUGUUCGAGUUGACAAAUCAUCCCCCGUCGAAUGACAACACAAUACAUUGCUACUUGAAUUGACAAGUCAUUGCACCGGGAAAAUAAGGAGUCGUUAUAAAUAGAUUUUAAUAUCCGUUGUAAUUGUAUCGUAUUACUUCCUCACUUGCAAUUAUUGACUCACCACAUAUAUGGAGGAACGAAGAGGAGGUCACUUUGGUUCAAGCUUGGAUUAUAACUGUAGAGGGGGAUUUUCCACCGGGUCCCCCACAAGUUCGUGCUGGAUCAUUUUGGUCUCGUGUCUGUCAUUUGUUUCACCAUUUAAUGGGGCGUACUCAAUAUCGAAGAAGAAGAGAUGUCAAAGCGAAGUUUCUGGAUUUGAAAAUAAAGGUGAAACAAUUUCAACGUAUUUAUAACGAGUUGGAUAAUGAACAUGCAAAUACGGAUGAAGACAUUCUACGGCAGGUGGCUUUGGAACUAUACCGUUUUGAAUAUGAUGGUAGCGAGUUUACCCACUUAGAUGCAUGAAAUCUUUUAAAGAAUGUCCCUUAUUUUUAAUAUGCAUGUUGGUUAAGUUAAUUGUUUUUCGUUAUUUUAGUUGCUUGUUGUUGUAUGUGUGUUUUGUUACUAUUUAAUAAAUGUCCAUUUCUUUUAAUGUAUGUUGUUUCCUCAAUCGCCAAUACAUAAUACGACAUAAAAUAAAUAACUAAUAUAUAAUACGCCAUAAAAUAUAAAUGGGGUACAUAAGUAACUAAUACAUAAUCCGACAUAAAAUAUAAACAGGGUACAGGAAUAACUAAUACGUAACACGACACUAAAAUAAAAACGGGGUACAUAAAAAACUAAUACAUAAUACUACAUAAAAUAUAAAGGUGCUACAUGAAUAACUACUGCAUUGAGGGAGGUAACAGGACCAUCGUUUCAUUUGGUAUUUCCCAAUGCACAUGUGAUGGUAUAGUAUUCACCAACUCAGAUCCAUAUGCAAGUCGAUACAAAAAAUUAGUGAACUUGUAAUCAACCAUUCUGUGAAUGGAUUCAUAUGUAUGGGUUCUUAGACAUGCUAUAGCGUGGCCACAUGGUAUACCGCCUUUUUGCCAUUUACCACAAGUACAUACCCUUCGUUCAAGUUGUACGUUGGUGGUGGCAAAAUUGUCAUCGACUUCAAAUGUAUCCCCAUACAAACGUCUUGCCUUCCAAUUAAAAGACUUGUUGAGACGUUUUUGAACCUUACUCUCAACGUAAGGGUUCAACCCACCAGACAACCUCCUUGUAAAAUUUGAUAUUUUAAUAAAAAUAAUAGCACAAUAAAAAAACUAAAUAUAACAAUCUCCCUUACCCGCCACUUCAGCCCAUUCACCAUACUUUGAUUGUAUUGACGUAGUGAUUAACUCAAUUAUCGUUGUUAUAGGAAACUCACGUAUGGAUAUAAUUUGCGAAAUUUCAGGGACGUCAAUCGAUUUAACAUUGUAACGUACUUUUGGGAAAAAUGCUCGUGUCCAUUUUGAAAUCGGUAUAUCGUCAAGCCAGUAAAUUGGACUCCUAAGCAAGGUGCAGAAAGGUGGUUUCCUACAUGUACUUUGCAACCUUUCCAAACACAAGUAAAAAUCAUCAACGCUAUAUGCAUUGCAUGACUUCCAAAACAACGAUUCGACUUCCGUAUUGUUAUGUCCGACAGACUCACGUAUCUUUCGAGCUAUAUCUUUAGGACAAUAUCCAUGAUAGGAAUCCGGGUAGGCACUCUGAACACCAAAGUCUAUUUUAUCACAUAGGUUGCUUAUGAAACCAACCUCUAUGUCCUCACCUAAACAAUCUUUUAACCUCAUCAUGAACCAUCUCCAUGAUUCUUCACACUCUAAGGUUCCCAAACCAACUGCUAAGAGUAGUGGUUCAUGAUUUCCAUCUAAAACCACUACGAAGUACAUUGUUGUCAGAUUGCUCCCAAGAAGGGGUAAAUAACCCACAUAUAUCAACGGCAUCAUGCACCUAAGGAAGGUACGAAUCUACAUAAAAAAAAACACAUAUUAGUGAUAAGUAAAAAGUAAUCGAGAUACGUUACCAUGAAAUAUUAUAUAACUCAAUAAAAGAAGUAUGUUAUACCACGCAACCUAAAGCCACAAAACAGAAUUGAAAGCGGUUGGUAUCGGUUUUCUUAAUGGCUGUGAAGGUAUUAGGAUUUGUUAUUUGAAGGUUAUGCAAGAAUAUUGGUAGCUGAGAAAAGCUUCUUUCGGUGUAAGUACUCAUUUUCAAAACCAAUGAAAGUGUUUUACAAUCAUCACACAAAUGCAAUAUCACACAAAUGCAAUUAUAAAUAGAAAAUAUUGUAUCUCUACUGUUCAAAAUUCAUAGUUUAACUUUUAAAUUCAUAGUCAAACCAGUUCAUUUCAUAGUCAAAUUUCACUGACCGGCAUGACAAUACUACAGAAUGUACUUGUCUGCAAUUCAUAGUUCAACUUUUUAAAUUCAUAGUCAAACCAAUUCAUUUCAUAGUCAAAAAUCACUGACCGACAUGACAAUACUACAGAAUGUACUAGACUACAGUUCAUAGUUCAACUUUUUAAAUUCAUAGUCAAACCAAUUCAUUUCAUAGUCAAAAAUCACUGACCGACAUGACAAUACUACAGAAUGUACUAGACUACAGUUCAUAGUUCAACUUUUUAAAUUCAUAGUCAAACCAAUUCAUUUCAUAGUCAAAAAGAAUUGUCUGUAAUAUGAUUUCUUCUGUAAAUGGGUGUCACUCAUUAUGAAAAAUUUAACUGGGAAAGUAACUCGAUUUAAAAGAAAAAUAAGGCUAAUGGCAUACUGUAAUUGCGGAGGAGAACGUAUUGUUAGGAUUUCGGGUACAACUAAAAACCCAGGAAGAUUGUUUUACGCUUGCCCAUAUUUGGUAUCAUGUUGUUAACGUCAUUUAAAUUUAAACCCUCGUGUUUACAUGACAAAAAUUUAUUUUCUUACUGUCAAUGUUAAAUUUAACAGGGACCAAAAUGCGGGUUUAUCAGUUGGGUUGAUGAAGAGAAGGACCAAUCAUCUAUAGUAAUAGCUAAAGUAGCUAACUCUAAUAAGCUCUUUCAAUCAGAAAAUAAGAAGUUAAAGAUAGCAUUGGUUUGUAGUUGGGUGUUGUUUGUAACACGCGUAGAUCAGGGCUAGUCAAUUUAUAGACGAUAGGCGUCAAAAAUGAAUUUUUGAUGAAAGAUUAUUUAUAAUAAAUAAUCUUAACUAAGUUGUAGUAUAUGUUACAAGGAUUCUAUACAUAUAAAGAACACCGAAAUCCGAGUUAUAACGAAGAAGUUAUGGUCUGUCGAAGUUUCGCGACAGAACCGGCACGGCACAGUGCGACGUAAAAAAUGAAUUUACGUUAGAGUGAUAUUUAGCCUUAGCAAUCUAAAUGAAAGUCGUAGAAUACGUUAAACCAUGAGCGUGCAUAAAAAGAACGCCCAAAUCUGACUUCGUAUGAGGAAGUUAUGAUUUUUCGAAGUUUCGACUUAGCGGUAUGCAGUCCGAAUACUUGAUUUGAAACCGAGCGGUUUUUAGCCAAAACAAUCUAAAUGAGAACCGAAUAUCUCAUUAAUUGUAGUAAAACGAUAAAAAGAUAGGCGAAAACGGACGUCGGAUGAAGAAGUUAUGAUUUUAUAACGGAGUUUUCCUGUCCCGGCCUACUAAAAAUAAAUAAUAAAAAUAAAGUCAAAAUUAGCCGGCGGAGUCUAAACGAAAGUUGUAGAUCGUAGUCUCACCUACGCGUAGAUAUAAAGAACGUCGAAAACGGAGUUCGUAUGAGGAAGAUAUGAAUUUUUGAAGUUUAUUAAAUAUUUUCGAUAUUUAAUUUAAAUAUAUAUUGACCGAUAUUAUCCGAAGGGGGGGAGUCAGCGACCUUAUUGUCAUUACGCCCAGCGUAAUCUCAAGUUACGCCCAGCGUAAUUCGACCUUCCAGCCCCUAUAAAAGGGUGUCGAGGGCAGCCGAGUAGUUUGCUCAUUUCUUCCAUUUUUCUCGCGUUUUUGCAUCGUUUUUCGUGCAAGAAUUAUCCCGAAGCCCCGGUAUCAUUCCCGAGCCCCGAAGCAAGUCCCGAGGCCCCGAAGAUCCCGAGAAGUGCAAUUCCCGAGCCGAAGCUCUAUCCGCGAGGAGUCCGGUUUUUGUGAAGAUCUUUCAGAUCUGCCGAAGAAUACUACUUCUACAAGCCGUAGUGUUGUUCGAUCAUCUUCUAAUCAAGUGAGUGUGUGAUUACUUUCUUCUAACGCAUAAAUAUUAAGUAUUUGCUAUGAAAUACAUGCUAUGUGUAUAAUAUAAAGUUGUUUAUAUGUGUGGGUGUAUAGUCCAUUUCAUAAACACGAUUUUAAUACAAGUAUUGUUUGAAUGUAUUAAAUAUAUGUUUGGUGUGAAUGUGUAGUUACCUUCUUCUAACACAUAAAUAUGAAGUAUUUUCUAUGAAAUACGUGCUAUGUGUUUAUAUAUUAUUUGUCUAUUUGAGAUGGACGUGGAAUUGAUGUUGUAUACAAGUGUUAAAUGAUUUAAACUGUGUAAGUAUUUAUAUCUACGAAAAUGUUGGGUAGAACUUGGGUAGAUGGGAUAGUUGGUGAUUAUGGAGUUAGCGCCUAUUGUAUAAACCUUGACGACUAUGGAGUCAGCGCACGUUGAGUAAACCUUGGCGACUAUGGAGUUAGCGCUUGUUAAGUGAACCUUGGCGACUAUGGAGUUAGCGCUUGUUAAGUGAAUCUUGGUGACUAUGGAGUUAGCGCAUGUUAAGUGAUCCUUGGUGACUAUGGAGUUAGCGCCGCUUGAGUAAACCCCGGCGACUAUGGAGUUAGCGUCUGAUAACUAUGGAUUUGGUACCUGAUAGAUAAACUUUGGCAGCAAUGGACUUCGUUUCAAUUCCUUAGGUAAAUUCUUAGGAAUGAAUGAAUGAAGGAUAAUGGANUGAAUUCAUAGUCAAACCAGUUCAUUUCAUAGUAAAAAAGAAUUGUCUGUAAUAUGAUUUCUUCUAUAAAUGGGUGUCACUCAGUAUGAAAAAUUUAACUGAGAAAGUAACUCCGAUUUAAAAGAAAAAGAAGGCUAAUGGCAUACUGCAAUUGCGGAGGAGAACGUAUCGUUAGGAUUUCGGGUACAGCUAAAAACCCAGGAAGAUUGUUUUACGCUUGCCCAUAUUUGGUAUCAUGUUGUUAACGUCAUUCAAAUUUAAACCCUCGUGUUUACAUGACAAAAAUUUAUUUUCUUACUGUCAAUAUUAAAUUUAACAGGGACCAAAAUGCGGGUUUAUCAGUUGGGUUGAUGAAGAGAAGGACCAAUCAUCUAUGGUAAUAGCUAAAGUAGCUAACUCUAAUAAGCUCUUUCAAUCAGAAAAUAAGAAGUUAAAGAUAGCGUUGGUUUGUAGUUGGGUGUUGUUCUUGGCAGUUCUUGUUUACAAGUUGUAAGCUUUUUAAUAUUGUUUUUAUGGUUUUGAAGUUGUUAGGUCAAUAAAUUGUUGUAUUUAUACUUAUGUUUAGAACAGUGUACUUGUAACGUUAAAACAAAUGUUGUAGUCGUUCUUAUGUUGUAAAUAUUGAUAAAUUAUUAGUAGGUCAUUAAUUUGUUGUAAUUGUCGUAACGUUAAAUUUUUUUCUAUCCGUUGACGAAACUGUAAAAAUAAACUAAUAAUCAAAUCCAACAUUAAUUUAGAUAUACAAUUAUAUAAUCCAACUACAUAGGACCAAGACUAGACCCCCAAAAAAAUUUUGUCAUCCGUUGACGGAACUCUAAAGCUGCGUUCUUUGGGUCAAUAAGAACACGUAUUGGUUGACCUGAAACGAAUUGCUCCAUAAACAUACAAACAAAAACACCGCAAUCUCCCAAAUGACUACUUUGUUGGGGAACAUUUUCUUCAUAAAUGAAUUGCAUAUUCAAUGAAAUCCUUCGGAUGUUCCUCCAGGCCCAAUACCUAAUCUUGUCCAAAUAAUUUGCCACCCGACGUUCAAAUUUGGAAAAGAUUCCUUCGGAUUGGAAUUUUUCAUAAGCACCUCUACCAAGACUGUCAUAAAUAUGCACUUCCAUUGACGCUAAUCGUAGUUCCCCAAAUAGCCAAUGAUUAGGGGAUGAAUGAAUCGGCAAUAAGACCUGUAUAAGGAUCAGAAAAUAAAAUUAUGUUUAUUUACAUCACAAUACAAAAACAUNUCAUUUUGUCUUCCAAACGAUCCUUUUUUACCAUAAUGUGUAUCAACUGCUCAUCCUUCUCAGCAAGCCAUUUUUCAGUCGUUUUGAUUGCCUUCUUACUCUUUUUUAUCCAAUCUUUAUGCUCUUUGAUUUUGUUUUUAUUGAGGUCUAUCCAUUCUUGAGCUUGUUUGCAUUCCGAUGCAAUAUCAUUAGCAAGUUGAGUGAGAAGUCGGGAUGAAUCUUUGUCCUCUUCUUGUUGUUCUUCAGCCUUCUUCAAUUCUUCAAAAUUUUCAUGUGACAUAUAUGGCCCGACUGAAGAGGGUGUAAAAAAAGGGUCUACCGAAUCACAGUAGUAACAAUCUACUUCAUUGCAUGAGCAAACUUCGAAUUUGUGUGAGGAACUCAUAAUAAAGUCGACAUUGUAAUAAACUUGUGCUAUAAGUGGUAUUUAUACAUACUAGACAGGAAUGACAAGUCCAACUUUGAAAUGACUAAACAGUAAUGACAAGCCACUGCAGUAACCUGCAAAUCGUAGUGGAACCCUUAAGUGACAAGACAUAAAUGACAAUUUGACAUGAUAAAUCACCGCAUAAAGCUGAAAAUCGUAGUCCAAAUGUAACCAUUUCAUAGUCAAAGUUUUAAUUCAUAGUCCUGUAUUUAUUUAUAUAAAUAGAUGUUUAAGAUCUAAAAACCAAACACCCAAAUCACCUAAACAAAACGAACUCCAAUUAUUAGAAAUGUUGUCGAAUGCAGCAAGUUCUUCGAAUGAAGUACCUGGUUCCAAUUCUGAAAGGCCAUGGACGACAAACGAGGUGUUAGUUCUUACACGAUGCUGGCUAAGUGUUAAGGAUGGUGUAUCGUUACUUGCUCCCCCGCAUUGCCUAAUUGGUGAUGAAUGGACUCGCAUAACAUCUUUGUUUAACCAUGAGAUGGGAGAAGGACAACAAAGAGAAAAAUCAGAUUUUGUUACUAAGUGGAUGGAUGUAAAGGAAGAAGUGACAUGGUUCAAUCGAGCAUGUAAUUAUGCGAAAAGUAACAAUGUUCGUUAUCGGAACGAAGAAGAGUUCUUGGAAGUUGUUACAGAUUUUUACAUCUGUGAGCAUGACGGCAGAGUUCUUGGAAGUUGUUACAGAUUCUUGGAAGUUGUUACAGAUUGUUACAGAUGUUUCAAUCUACUAAAAACAAAAUAUAAAUUAAUGUAAGUAUAAGAACCUCUUUAACUUCACUAUAAUCAUUUACAUCAAACAUAUCAUCAUCAAAUUUGUUCCCCGCAUAGUCAUUCCUCUCCUCCAACACCUACAUUAAAAAUAAAACUUUAUACUUAAUAACGAAAGACACAUUAAAAAGUAAUUAUUAAAAUCGUAAAGGUAAUAUCUAUAACAACCUUGUCGUCUUCAAUAUCACCAAAAAUAUUUUCAGUUGUAUUGUUUUUAUUCAUCACUUCAUCUUGUACAACCUAUAUUUUCAAAUAUAAAAUAUGAACACAGGUAUUCAUAUAUGUUAAUAAAAUUUAAAAAAUAAUGUAGCGUGUAACUAACCUGGUCAUCAUAUUUUCUUUGUGACACUAUAGGAUCAUCAAAAGUAAUGUCAUUCCAAAAUUGUUCAGUAUUCACUUCUUUAACAAAAACAUCUGUAGGUUGUCGGUUCAUAAACACAUGCUGCUCCAGUGCAUGUAGCCGUUUCAACACAUCGUCUAGGUUGUGUUUCUCACUGCCCCUACCUCUACCAUGAGAGCAACCACUGGACGAUAUACUAGACGAAGAUUCGUCUUGUCUCCUAAAAUGGUCCCACUGAAGAUGNCUGGUUUCCCUUCACCAUAUACAUACUCUUGAAAUGACAUAUAAUAACAAGAUGUCAUCUCACCAUCACUCGGUAACAUGUUUUGUCUUGGUGUUUGCCCCUCCUAAAAAAUCAAACAUAUUAAAAAUGCAUAUAAAAGUAUAAUAAUCAAGUUUAUUAAUAAUAAACGAAAAAUUUAUAAACCUGUAUCUUUGAAAAAAUCUUGUUCACGUCAACCCAUUUCAAUUUUUUUGUUCCACUCCAUCGUUUCAUCCGAGGCAUGUCUUUAUUUUUUCUCAAUACAAAUCCACAUGUACGAACAGCCAGAAUCAUCUCAUAUAUCUAUAUCUAUAAUUUUUUACAAUUACAGUAAUUAAAGUUAAAAUUAAAAUAAAAAACAUAACAAUAAAACCAUUUAAAUAUAAGAAAAUUUGUAUACCCUUAUUGGAGCCGUAAAUCCUGAGACGGAGUACUUUAAAGUUUGACGACGCUCAGUAAGUGAUAAAUAAUUAUUUAUUUUGUUUCAUGUAUCCUCAAGGUCAACAUAAGUAAAAUCCCAAAGAUAGCUACCCUCAAGCGAAACUAGCAAAACAAAAAAACAAAAUUGGUUUUUAUAUAAAUUAUAACUUUAAUAAAAUAAAACUUUUAACGUAAACAAAAUAUACUUGUUCCAGAGAUCCAAAUUCUCAGCUAAAAAAAAAAACAAUCUUGUGGCACCCGAUCAUUAAUUUCUUUUCCCAAAAAACCUUCACACAAAAUGUAUAUCAAACAUGCUCUAACUGCAUCAACGUCGUCAACUUCUAAGAAUGUUAGAUUUAAAAUUAAACGUUUCAGGUCGUCGAUUUUCACCGAACUAUUGGUAUGGUCCGGAAAUAGCCGCUCACGCAAUAAACAUCUUUUUUUUUACUAGUUAAUAAUUUUUCCAACGCUUUUUUCCCAAUGUUUUUUGGAUACUCCCCAAAAUUGAAGCCGAUUAUCAAACAAAACUCUUCCGGCCCAUAAACCAUUUUCGUAUUGCCUACUCUAAAAUAUAAUCGUUUUAUUCCAUCUGGAGAUAAAACAGGGUCCGGCCGGAUCUGAUGAAGGAACAUUUUAUGGAACAACAAUGUGUCCCCUUAUAAACGAGGGACAUCCAUAAAAUAACCAAAUACAGUAUCUCUGAAAAUGACACGCCUGACACCAUCUAAAACUUCAAAUACCCAUAUAUUACCGCCCGAGCCUUUUAAGUUCACAAUUGCUUUCAUAUUGAUAAAACUAAAAUCAUGCUGCAAAAAAAACACAAAAACAAAUUAGAGAACUAAAAAAUAUUUUGUUUUUAAAAUAUAUGAUUAUGAACUGCAAUAAGUUUAUAAACAAUAAUAAUUUUAGUAAUGCAAAUACAAAUUCUUAAUUAAUAAUUUAUAUAUUUACGAUAAAAAACAAUAACAAACACAUAUAUAAACAAUUUUCCAAGUUAUAUAACAAAUAUAUUUACGAUAAAAAAACAAUAUCAUACAUAAUUAUAUAAACAUUUUAUUAAACAAAUUUUCAACUUAAACGACAAAUAUAUAAACAAUUUUUAUCUUUCUAAUUAUAUAAACUAACAUUUUAUAACCAUAUAAACAAACAAUUUUUCAAAUAAAACGACAACCAAAUUAACAAUUUUGCAAGUUAUACGACAAAUAUAUACAAAUUUUCAACUUAUACGACAAAUACAAACAAUUUCUAACAAUAUAUAUACGACAAAUUUUCAACUUAUACAAAUGUUAUACUUAUACGACAAAUAUAUAUACAAACGACUAUUUUGCACAUACUGUAAUUUAACUAUUUUUCACUUUAUAUAAACAAUUAUACGAUAAGAAUAUACAAGUUUUCAAGUUAUACAACAACUAAACAAACAACAAAAAUAACAAAUUGUAAACAUUAUCUACGCAGUCUCUACUUGUACAUUCAAACAACCACUAACAAAAUAGCAUUUAAAGUUCAAGUAUACUAAAGAAAUAUUAAAACUAUCAAACACAACAAAAUUACCCUUUCACAAACUUUAUAAUUUCUAUUUUUUUUACACUAAAUAAUAUAAUAAAUGAUAAAAUAAUAAAUAGUUAAAACAUUAAAAGAGUUAAAAUCUAACCAUAUUUGCGGGAUUGUUGACAUAAUCCUUCAUUUUCUUCAAAAACUAGCCAAAAUCGCGAGAAUAGCCCACAGAUAAAGAGAGUUUUUGUGUAGAGAAGGGUGAAAAAUGGAGAAAAAAACGUUUAUAUAGUCAAAACUAGGGGAAAUCGCAGAUGGAAUACUCAUUUCGCAGAUGGAAUGGUCAUUUCGCAGAUGGGGCAAUUCCAUCUGCGAAAUUGUGGGCUAUUUUUGCAAUUUCGAUUUUUUUGGCUAUUUUUGUAAUGUAAUUAGUAUAAAUAGCUAUUUUUGUCAUUUUCUCUUAUAAUUAAUAUACUAUUAUCAUAAUAUAUUAAUAAAUUAUUUAUUUCAAUUUAUUAAUCAAAUAAUAAAUCAGUCUCUCUCCAAAAGUCAUCAUGUCCAAUUGUUGGGUUUGAGGGCAACCCAAAAGGACCGUGCUACUAUCAAUUCAAGUAUAUAACAAUUAUAGUUAUGGUCUUAGACACCUAAUCCAACAUAUAUAUGGGCCCCACCCUGGGGUAUCUUUCAACCCAAUAAUACAAUAGUGGGCCCCGCUUUGGGGUCUAUUUCAACCCGAACAUACGAUAGUGGGCGCCGCCAUGGGGUAUAUUUCAACCCAACAUACAAACACAUAUAAGCUAUCAUCCGAGAUACAUAAUAAUGGGUCGACAUUGGUGCCUUCAGCUCAUUGAUACAAUUAGAAAACUCACCUUACAGACGAGUAAAAAUUGAAACAACACACUGCCCCAAAACCAACUCUACCGGUCACUUUACAAAUAACAGUGACCAAAUCUUAGAUUACAGGAUCAAAAUACUCGAAAUACCCCUAAGUCAAACUUGAUCAAAAUCCUGGUCAAAGUCAAAAGUCAAUUGGGUUAAAUCCAUUGGACAAAAAUCCUAAUAUAAGGUCUUACGUCGUGACUAUUCCUUGGUCACAUCGUGAGAGUCGACCAAGUACAAUUCCAACAACUCGUUCCAGGCUCAGCAACUCGUUGUCACUUCGUGAGACCUUAUGUCUCAUAUCGUAACUUCAGUCUGCAUCCAAAAAUCAAUGUUUUAAGUCCUUAUUCCGUUAAGAUAUUGAAUCCAUUUCAUCCAGAAGCUAAAGGGGACCCCUAAGGUCCAUAAAAGUGUUUGCUUUAUGGCCAUGCAUGCACAAUGCAUGACCCAACAUAUUCUAGGUCAAAAAGUGGAAAAUAUUCAUAAAACUCAUGCAUGGCUCUUAUACCACACUAACUUCUAGGUCUAGACAAUAUGAUGAUCAAAGAACCUUUGGAAUCUAUAAAGUAGCUAACUUUAUGGAUUUACUUCACUCAAGCAUGCUUAACAUGAAGAAAUAUGGAUAGAAUCCUAGAUCUACCCAUAAUAUGCAAUAAAGCUUGAAGUUUUGAUACUUACAAAGGUACAACAACAAGAAAAGAUGAUGAUGAUGAUGAUACUUUGUCCACUCCACCACUAGAACACUUCUUUCCUCUUAUUUUCUCAUUAUUUAAGCUAGAAAGUGCACCAAAAUGACUACGGGCUUCAAGAAUGAUUGAUAUCAAGGUUUAUGGAGGCUCAGAGUGUGAAGGAGGUUGAGGGUGAACAACCCUAGCCCUCUCAUUUCAUUAAAUACCAAAAAUAUAGGGUUUUGGUUAUUAGUCCACUCUCACGUUGUGAGCAACACGGGCUCACGUCGUGAGAAUCAAAGGAAGCAGGUCAACAAGUCAACACUGCCUCACGACGUGAGAGACAUUGCUCACAUCGUGAUUACAUCAAAAUGCUAAAGAAAACCUCGAAAUCAUGUACCUCAAAACUGAAUGUUACAGAAUAAAGUUUUAGGUUUAAUGAAAUAAUUUUUUUUGAUAAGUCGGGGAAGAGUAACUUAUCCAGAAUGACUUUUCUCAGGUGUGAGACUGCUAUAAGUUGUUUAAAAAAAAUAUUAUCUAAACUUUCUUUAUAACUUAUAUCGGUUCCAUACUGAUUAUAAAUUAAAAGUUCAUUUUUAAAACUUUCUUAGACAUCUUCUUAAUAUUCGUGUCAAAUAAAACAUAAGGAGUACAAAACAAAAUUUACACUUGGUUCUAGAGUUAAUAAGCAAAGGUUAAAAAUAAAAGGAAGGAAGAAGAAGGAACAUAAAAGAAGUGGGAGGGAAUUCAUACUUAUAAGGUUAAACCAGAGCGGAUAAAUUUCAAGAGAAAAAUAUAUAUUCUUUCUUUUUAUUCUUUUUUCGCUCACCUCUUUAAAAAAUCGAAAACACACCUUUUUACCUUUUCCUUAAAAAGAAACUCAAGAACACACAUUUUCUUCUAUUUUAUUCCACUUUUUUCUUUAAGUGAAAAUAGAGCAAAAUAGAGCAACAAGGUUUUCAUAACUUUACAGAUCUACCCUGCUAUUGCACGAAUGACGAGAUUUUUAAAGGGUUGAUAAAUAAUCACAACGAUGACAAAAUGGGGAAGGGAGGGGGGGUUGAUAUAAUAUUUCAAUCAAGUGUUUAACAUCUAUUAAGAAUAUCAUUGUUCUAAAAGGUGUAUCAUGACACGUCAAUAUUUGUGAUGACGGCAACAUGUGACUCUAGCUUCGCGAAUCGCAACAAUGGUGUUAUCUGGGCCUAGUGUGCCCAAAUGAUGGAGGGGCGUGCUAAGGCAAUAGUUUUUUCAAGAUGUUUUUUUUUUCCUUAUUCAACGAUAAACCCUUGAGUUUUGUUAAUUUAUUAUUAGUAGUUGUUGAUAUAAUAUUUUUUAAAUAUAAUAUAUUUGAUAUAACUAUAUAAUUGUAUGAUCUUUCUUUUUGUCUAUUCGAUUUGUUCAACGUAAUUGAGUAAUAUUAGAAUAUAUAAAAAUACCGACUUAAGUCGUAUUUUAAGAAACAAUAUGACACCACGUGACUCGUAAACAUUACAUUUCACCUCACACAUUUAAAACCUUGUAAAAUACUCAUUUCGUCCAAAAAUUAUAGUCCAUAUUUCCUUUUUGGUUUGUCCCAAAAUAAUAGUCAAUUUCUAAAAAUAAAUAACAUUUUUACCAAAAUACUCCCUCAUUAUUACUUAACCAACUAAGUAUUUAAUGGAACAUUAAAUGCAAAGUAAGGACAAAACUUUCAUUUUAUUAUAUAAAGUUAGUGAUAAUUAAUGCUUUUCUUAAUCUGUGUGUUUUUUGUCUGUGGACAAUAAUAUUGGGACGGAGGGAGUAUAACGUAUAUUGGGUUUUUGCAACUUGCAAAAUGGAAACGAUUGGUCUUCCACUGUAAGAUUUUUUUUCUUUUUGACAUAUAUUGUUUAACAUCCCGAUUUUCAACUCAAAAUUUUCCCUUUUUAUUUAUUAAAAUAUAUCAGAGUAUUAUUACAUUGUGCGGAAACAUGUUGCGAAUGUGCGUGUGUACAACUAAGCCUUGCACUUCUUACGAAUCAUUUGAAGUUCUUGAAAAACAUUUAUAUUCAACUAGGUAAGCACGAAGAUUAGUGAGUUUCCUAAAAUGUCAUAUACCACAAUAGAUAUGUAUAUGCAUAUAUCGAGUAUCUAGGCUCAUAAUCGCUUAAGUUCUUAUUGUCAUCACCUCACCUUUUGAGUAUCUAGGCUCACAAUCGCUUAAGUUGCUAUUGCCCUUUUCUAGGCUCACAACCACUUAAGUUGUUAUUGCCAUUAACUCACCCCUUUGCCUUCAGCAUAAAGCUGAUUCGCUACCUUGACUAUCCACAUAACANNNNNNNNNUAUAGCAAGCAGAUAAAUAGUCCACAAACAUGAAACUAACUAAACUAAUCUAAUUGCCUAAUAACAUACUGCAGCCACCUCCAACUAACUUAAGCAUAACAUUAGUCCCAAAGAUACUAUACUACCAACAUAUCCUACUGGUUCUUAUAUCCUAACAUACAUGGAUAUAUAUUGUAGUACACAAUAUAGUGAGGUAACUCACCUGGACAAUUACUUGGAAGUUUGACAACUAUCUAUGGAUAUAUAUUGUAGUACACAAUAUAGUGAGGUAACUCACCUAGACAAUUACUUGGAAGAUUGACAACUAUCUGGGCGAUUCUACUGACGAUUCAACUGGAAGAUAGUGUGCCAAACAAGUAUUAACCUAUAAUAUUUUAUCCUAUUAAUUUGUAUAAUGAUCUAGUAAUGAAAACUAGAUUCUUCACUAAUCCCAAUGAAUACCGAAUGUUCUAUCAAAUAAGGAUCAUGCAGGUCGGUCAAUCUGGAGGCAUGAUCAUUUCGGAGUAUAGUCUUUCUGAAAUCCAACAACCAAGCCAACGUCACCAUUCUAGAUACCUCUCUCGUAAGUAAAUAAAUCAGUAUUAUAGCCGGAAUUAAUGAUAAAUCUUAUUUAUAUAUUCAUAACAACAACAAUGAAUAUAAAUAUAAGUUACACUAAGAAUAUAAAUAUGUGUAACAAUCGACGAGAUCUACAACUUUCAUAUGCGUAACAACAACAAAUAUAAAUAUGCGUAACAAUCAACGAGAUCUACAACUUUCAUUUAGACUUCUCAACUAAUUUUGACUUUAUUUUUAAAGUUGUAUUUUUACCAGACUUAGACUGUUAACAACUGUAUAAAAAUCAUAACCAUCUCAUAUGAAUGUUAUCGACUGCCUUUAUAUCGAAGAAAUCAUAUGGACGAGAUCUUCAAUUCUUGUUUAGAUUGUUUUUCCUAACAAUCGACCGAUCUCUAUUUCAGUUUCUGUGUAGUACACUGUUGCACUGAAGUUUCUAAAAAUCAUAAUUUCCUCUUAUGAAGUCAGAUUCAAACGUUUUCUCUACGUAUGCUCUCGGUUUUGUGAUUACUAUGACUUUUGUCAGGCUUCUAUUAAAGACGUCUAUUUAUGUGACUGAUCUUUUAUACUAUAAGAUGAAAAUAGGUUGGUACAUAUUGUGGACCAUUCCAAAAUUCUGUCUCCACACAUUUUCAUACAUAAGUGAAUAACUAUUUAGAUCACAAGUCCAAAAUGACAAUAUGUUCUAACUUUUUAACGGUCUUAAGCCCAACAAUAAACCUACUACCAUGUAACCAUAACAUGAGUCCAAUACAAUAAAAUAAGCCCAUCAUUUUUUUGGGGCUAAUGCACAUCUUCUGUUAAAAAAACACAUAUUUUCAAACGUUAGACCAAAGAGCCAUUACUAGAUCCAACACUGAGUAAUCUUUGUCCAUAAUGCUGACCAACCUAUAUGAAUAAGCAGUUCCAGUAAUUAGGACCAAAAUGUGUAAUGGCCAAAAAAAAAACUAAAAUGGGUCCAACACAGGAAGUAGGCUCAAACUGCAUUAGUCCAAUACAUAAGUUAAAUGAACUUAAAAUAUUAUUUUGGAUAAAAAAUAUACUACUUAUCAAUCAUACUUAUUCUUUUAAAUAUGUUGGCUUUAAAGAAUGUUAAUCAUCUAGAUUAUCCAAAUUACUCAUUUUCAAACCAUCAAACCUAAAUGUCGUCCUAUAGUAAUAUGUACUUCAAAUCACAUUUAUUCGUAAUUUUCAUUCUAGACAUUUUUUUCUUUCUAAUUUCUCAGAAAAAUGCAUUUUUAACAUCAUGUUGAUACAAUUUAAAGUCUCAUUAAAAUUCCUUGAGCUAUUCACAUCCAAAUAUCAAAUUUCUAGUCCAAAUACUAAAAUCAUAAUCAUAAUAAUAAUAAUAAUAAUAAUAAUAAUAAUGCCAAAUCAUAAAAUAAAUGGCAUAUAAUGUGCUAGCUCAUAAAAAAAUGAGAGUUUGUUGUGUUGUCCUAAAAACCCAAUGAUCUUUUAUAGGAGGUCAAAAUGGUUGAGUUGAAAAUAAAGCCAAAAAAUUGUUGAUUUAUUUUAGAUUGAAAAAAAAUCAUAUNNNNNNNNNNNNNNNNNNNNNNNNNNNNNNNNNNNNNNNNNNNNNNNNNNNNNNNNNNNNNNNNNNNNNNNNNNNNNNNNNNNNNNNNNCAAUUGGUAAAAUAAAUAGAGAAAAUCAAAAAAUAAUAAUAAUAAAUUCCACAUGUUAUUAUUUGAUAUAAGCAAGAAGAUAAAUAUAAAUAAAAAGUAAAAAAUAUUUAAACAAACGUAAUUUAUUAAUUUAAUUAUCAUUGUACAACGAGUGAGAUGUCAAACGGGCAAUAAGUUGCGUAAGUAAGCCUUUUUGUAUGGUAAAACUAAUUCUUUUGAAGACUACCUCUAUAGAUCUUAGAGAUAUAACAUUGCUAUGCAUGAUCUGUUGUACUCUAUUAAGAAGCUCUAACGCAUCCGACGCGAGGAAACCAAAGGUAUCAAAUGCAAAUGGUAUGAACACGUGUUGAUUUUCCAUGCACGAUUUCUCAUAUUCUGUGACUUUGCUUGUAGCAGCUUUUAAAGCAAUCUGUCCCGUCGUGAAAUCCCUAACCCUCAAGCCCACAAGAAUGGAUACCCCUGUAAGGUCCACACAUGCGUGUUUCCCUUCAAACCAUCCAAAAAUCAAAAUGUCAGCCGGUAUGAGGGUUGACCUUCCUUCUGCCGAGUCAGUCAAGAAAUUCACAGGUGCCUCUUUCUUUGCGGAAACCCCGACACACUUAAAUAUGUCAAACAAAACAUCCCUAACCAUAUUUUGCCUGUAUUUGAACCCCAAGAGUUCUUUACGGUGAACUGCAUGCUCUCCAAAAGAGUCCAAACAUGCCUUGCGACACAUCAGACAUAUCUUGUCAGCUGAGAAUAUUAGGAUCAUGAGUCGAUAUUUAAGGAUAGUACGAUAAUCCACAUGAGACAUAUGUUGGUCAAACCCAUCUAUAAGGAUAAACUAGAAUAAAAUCUUGAGCAUGUGGUGCACGUAAGCACUGGAAAACCACUUUCUGUUGAGCUGUCAUGUUGAGAUGCACUUCCAUAUCUUGGAUAAUUUUACAAAAAAAGGGCACUCAAUAGUGUAUUUUGGGAUUUAGGGGGGGGGGGUGUCUUUAGUAGUAAAACUGCUAAGGUUAAAAUCCGGAAGCCUGUUGCUAAGAGAAGUCAAUGCACAAUCAUAAUCAGAAUCCAUACCAUAUAUGUCGUUAUCCCGUAAGAUGUGGUCUUAAAAAAUAUUUAGUUUUUCUUUCUUUUUCUUAGGCCAUCGGGUAUGAUAACGGGUGAACAUCUCUCCACAUCAUCAUCAGACUUGUUCACAAUUCAUUCAAUAUAGGUUGGAAAUGGCAAUGUUUUAAAACCUGGGUUUUUAGUUGACCCGGUGUGAUGACCGGUUCACGGGUCAACCGGUUCAACCGCCAAGUCAACCCGGUUUAUAGUCUUUUUCUAUUUUCUUAUAUUUUUAUUUUCCUACAUACUACAUAGACAUAUAAUACCAAUUAUUUGAUGUCAACAGAGUUUAAUCUAAACACAACAAACAAUCUAAAGACAACAAACAACCACAAAGAGUAUUAAUAACAUGUUAUAGAUCAAUAACAAAACAAACAACCACAUAGAAACCAUAGUUACGACCAAUCAAUCUAAACACAACAAACAAUCUAAACACAUAGAAAACAUACUUGUAGACAAAUCCAAACACGUUACGACCAAACCAAAUCAUGGAUCUUGAGAAAUUGGAGUAUUAUAAGCAUCAAUCUCACGGUCACUUAGUAACUGAAAUUCACUAUCAACUUCAUCAUCAACAUGGUCACCUUGUGAUUCAGAAGUCGGUUCAUGCUCUUGCUCAUCAAGCAUAUUUUCCAAAUCAUCAUAAUUAAGUUCUCCUUCCCGCUCUUCUUCAACCACCCAAAAUCCUAUCUUAUCAAUAUUUUCAUAGUCAACAGGAUCGUAAGACCUCAUAUCAACCUUCAAUCUACAAAAACAUUCACAAAAAAUCUCAAAUAUAACUUGGUCCUUUUAUAGCAUAGUAUAUCUUAGCAAGAUACCAUACCUAUUUUGUAAACGCAAGUUGUAAUGAACAAAUACAAGAUCAUUUAGCUUUGAUGUUCCAAUCUAUUCCUUCGUUUCAUGUGAAUCCUUUCAAAUACACUCCAAUUAUGUUCGCAACCGGAAGAAGAUGCCAUUUGACUUAAUAUUCUAAUAGCAAACUUUUGCAAAACCGGAAUAUCUCCGCCAAAUAACUUCCACCACUCAUCUACAAAAGAUAUAGUUAGCAAAACAAUAUAUUAAAAAAUACAAAAUUUUAUAUAUAAUAAUAACAAAUUAAAUUUAAAUCAUACCUGGACGAGUAAGAUUACGAGAAGCAAUGACACUAAAUCUACCAAAGGUACCUUCAGCAUCACGAAACCUGCCUAAAUUCAAUAUAAUAUUUAAAACAUCAUCACCUUUAAAAGUCUUCUCAACCAUUUCAAGAACGCCUUGAAACACCUCAUUCUUCUUACAAAGAUUUGCAUGAUCAUAUUGAAAAAUAGGAUUCAACCAAUAAGCCGCACAAUAAAUACUUUUUCUUAACAUCAUAUCCCAACGACUAUCAAUUAUGUUAGUGUAAGGCCUAUAUUAUUUCUUCUUCUUUUUAAACAAUUCCUUAAUCCCUCUUCUUGCCCGACACAUUCCCUCGUAAACAUAACUAACUGUAGGUUUUUCAUCCGAAUCACACAAUCGCAAAAGCUUUAACAAAUGAGUCAUUACUUUCACUGUAAUCAAACAAUUCUUCCAAAAGAUUUCAUUCAAGACAAUUUGUUUACAUUCAACCACAUUUCCCACUUUCAACAUCUUCUUAAACUCAUUAGAUAUGACCAUUGCUUGUAAGUCUUCUUUAUGAUCAUAUAAACUUUGCAAUGCAAUGAACACGGUACCAAACUGAGUAGCACCUGGACGGAUAAUUUCUUUCCAACCGGGUCUUUUUCUUAACCAAUUCAAGGGCCACUUAUGAUUAUACACAAAAACAGUAACCCUCGAUGCAAGAUUGACCAAACUUUUCACAUUAUCCAAUUCUUAAAGAUCCUUUAAUACAAGAUUAAGACAAUGUGCUGCACAUGGAGACCAAGUAAUAGAAGGAUAUCUUUCACAUAACUUAGUACCAGCAAGCUUGUAAUUAGCAGCAAUAUCAGUUACCAUUUGCACCACAUUUUUUUCUCCUACCAUUUCAACAAUCUCAGCAAACAAAUUACACAAAUUUGUAGCAUUGCUCUCUAUAUCAUAUGCAUCAACAGAUUUAAGAAAUGAUAUCUUUUUCGGACAAUAAACCAAGAAAUUAAUCAAAUGUCGUUGUGAAACAUCCCUCCACCAUCACUCAUAAUUGUGCAUCCAGUAUCAACCCAUUGACUUCUUAACGAAUCAAUUAUCAAUGAAACUGACUUUUUUGCAUCUGUCAAUAAAUUAACCUUUAGAGCAUGAUAAUUAGGUGCUUUGUAUCCAUAAUCAGUACUUGCUAUUUUAUCUACCAUAAGUUGAAAAAAAGGAGAGUUGCAAGCAUUCAUAGGUAUAUAUGCAUCAUAAAACCACAUAGCAAUAGCUAAAUCCACAUCAUGUAUUUUUGCCUUACUUUGCAUUGCAGAUUUGAUAGUGGUUGGGAAGGAUCAUUUAUACCUUUCAUAAAAAAUGGAUGCAAGUUUGAAGAAAUAUUUCAUUUUUCCUUUUUUCAUAGUUGAAAUUUCUGCUUCCUCCAUCUCUUCAUCAUCAUCCAAGAUAGUAACACUAGUGGUACGUUUUUCUUUUUCUUUUUGGGCAGUCUCUUUCAAUUUCCCUUGCAUAGUAAACCGCACUUCAGGACUAACUUUUGGGCAUGCUACAACCUCUCCUUUAAUACCAACAAGAUGUUUCUUAACCCUAUUUAUUCCACCACCACCUAUAACUUUUUGACAAAAAUUACAUAUCCAUGCCUUUUUCCCCUUCUCAUCAACGACUUGAGUAACAUGUUCCCAUGCUAUAUCCGUGUUUGUUCGUACAUUUGAUUGAACCGAAGAAUGGGAUUGAGCUUGAGAUUGUGCUUGCAAUGGUUCUUCUUCCCUUGAUUCCAUAUUUAACUGCAUUGAAAAGUAAUGUUAUAAUCAAUAAACAUAUGUCAAUUGUAUCCUAAUUACAUAAUCUAUACAAUCAAAACCUUGAAACAAUGAUCAAUUAACAAUAAAUGAACUCUAAACUAACCAAAUAUGUCACAAUCACAUAUUUCACAGUCAAAAGAAAAUUGAUUUCAUAACUAGGUAGAGAAGCAACAUUCGAAUGGUCAACUAAAAACCCGGGUUUUAAAACAUUGGGAUUAAGUACACAAAACAUAAAAACAAUACAUUACGUGAUCGAAAUUUACAUGUGUUGAUUUCAAAAACCUUCACGUUCCAAUGGUAAAAAAUAUACAAUAACUUAUUCAAAAACUAAUAAGUUUUAUAAAAUCUACAUCGGAGAUGAUCUUAUCAAUUUCUGGUUUCCAAAUUUGAAUUAUAAAAUAAAUUGAUAAAUACAAACAUCUUAAAAUCAAUAAAUUAACUUACUAAAGAUUAUUGUUAUAAGAAUUACCUAAACUUGAUCAAAUUCCACAUUGGUAUAUCUACCGAUAACAAGGCAAUGAUACCAAAAAGAAAAUGUUUUUUUUAUUGAUUACGUCAAACUUCAAAAUGAAUAUAAAACAUAUAUAAUUCUUCUAUUAAUACAACUGACUAAUUAAGUGAUAAAUAUUGGUUGAUAUUGACAAAUAGAUUUGUUUACAUUCCACCCACUUCACCUUUGAUUUGUUUUUAGAUUUAAACUUUUUCUCAAUAAAAUUGACAAAUUUAAACAUGAAACAACCAAUAAUUUUGACAAAUAUUGGUUGAUAUUCAUAAUGAAAGUAUUCCAUUGUUAACUUCAGUGAUAAAUUGAACAAGAUGCUCAGAAAGAGAAGCAACAUAACCUGUCACACCCCAAAACCAUGAAUGGUAGAAACAUUCUGGGGCGGAGGACGUCAUGUACAAUAUCACAAACAAUGAAUAAUAGUAAACAAGCAACAACAUCAUCAAUUGCAUUAAUAAUAUAAUUUCAUACAUGUGUGUUCUGUCAAAGUUAUAAACACCAAAAAUAUACAUAUCAAAAUAAAAGAUGAGUCUUGAACGAACUCCAUCUUCUCAAAAGCCUGGCACCUGUACCUGUCUAGUGGUGACCUGAGAAUACAAGUUAUUUUGAAAGCGAGUAUCAGCUUAAUGCUGGUGAGAUCAUAAGUAUAUUAAUGUCUGAGUUUGUAUGAAAACGUUUGUAAAAUGUUUCUAUAAGAUGUUUUGUAUAAUGUUUGAGCUCUCCUAGAAAACCCUAUGUUUCCUACUAACUAUAGCCUUCUACCAAGGCAUCUAGUGUCUGUGUAUAUGUCUCUUGAUAGAGUCUGUGUUUUCCCCAAUUCAGACUAUCAUUAACCAAAAAUAUAGAUUCUACAUUAUCGUGCAUCGUGUGAAUAUUCACGAAGUGAAUGUUAAUGGAAAAAAUGAGAUAGUACUAUGGUGUAGUGUCGUACUACAACCGUACUAAUUACCUUAAGUCUAGGGUAAUUCUUAUAAGUACUGUAGUAUUUGUAAUAAGUGACUAACUCUGUACUCCUAUUGCCUUAUUUGAGGGAUAAGGCCUAAUGUGAUGGCUAGAUCCCAGGCUAGNCCCCCCCCCAAUCAAAGGGAUUUUGGGACCUUUACACGACUCCUGCAUAUUUGCACGCCGUGAACAUCCACAUUACUAUGAUCAUGUAUACCCGAUAUAACUAUAACACUACGUUGUGAUUCAUCGGUAUAGUUAGAUCCUGAACUUGUUCUAUGCUAUAGCACCUAAUGAUGUCUGUCCUAUUAUCGUAUAUGUAAACGCACUCAUGUAAACAUAUCUAUGUAAACGUACUCAUGUAAGCUUACUCAUGUAGCGUAAUCAUGUAAACAUAUCUAUAUAAUAGUAUGGUAAUGUACUGUAAUGUUCUGUGUGUGCUAGCUGUAAUGUGUGUUCUCUCUCUAUCUAGCAUGUAUAGUAAUGUACUGUGUGCACUAGCUGUAAUGAGUGUUCUCUCUCUCUUUAGCAAGUAUUGACUCAUGAAUGAACUGACUCAUUGUAUGUUUCAUUGUUCUAGUAAUAAUAAUAGUAUCCUCCUGUGUUACCCCUAUGGUAACUUAUUAGUGAUGUACUGGUACGUAUGAACAUGGAAGUAUACCCUUGCUACCCAAGGGUACCGAAUGAACUAGAAGGAUCUUUUAUGACUAUAUAUGUACACAUGAUAUAUAACUAAUAUUUAAACGAACAUCUCAAGCGCGAAAAGGAAAUAGGGUGGAUAGCCUUCGUAAGUCCUUUAAACAUUUCUUAUAUAACUAUACAUACUUAGAUAUGCAAUUGAUAAUAAGUAAAACAGAGUUAAGCAGAUGUAUUUGAUAAGUAUAAGAACUUGUAAAACAGUUUGAAGCAAAACAGUUUGAUAAACAAUUUAAACAAUAAGGAAAUCAUUGGUUUUGUAGUUAUUAAUCACAUGUGAUUGAUGUAAUAACUAUAAGUAUUUGACUUGUAUCCCCCCCUCUCCCUAUAUAAGCAUUUAAAAACAUUUAAACCAUUGAUUAAGGGGUAUGAACUCACUUGUGGUGAGUGGAUUGGAUUGGAGUGUCGGGUACGGUGCUAGGUGACAAAUGGAGACUUGUACACACGCACGAGCCUAGUUAUCAUAUAAUGAACAUAUAUAUAACUAAUUAGCCAAUUUAUAACUAAUAAAUUAAGUUGGGACACUCUAGAACAAGAAAACACUUUGUUUCAAGUGUUAAAGAUCACAAGGAUUGCAUCCAAGUGUUGGUAGGGCAAAGCUAGGGUGUUUAGAGUUCAAGGGUAAACUCUCUUGGAGUUCACGGUUUUGAUGGUCAUAACCCAAGGAGUUUACGACAGUAAACUCUAGGGUUUACGGUCGUAAACUCUACUCCUAUUGACCAUGUGUUGUUUUGUGGUUUAACAAGCCUUUUGAAGCAUUUCUACUAGGUGAUUUGGCCUUUGGAAGGGACUAGGGCAACAAAAACACUCCUUAGAGGAGUUUACGGCCUCAUGGUCAUUCCCCUUUGGGUUUACUACCGUAAACCCUUAUGGAAAAGGGUAUUUCCAUGUUUUCAAGUCCUUAACACAACUAGAUAAUAGUCUAAGUUAGUUUUUAGGCCUAAGGAAGGAAAAUGACCCAUUUAAACACACUUUAGGGUGUUUACGGUUUUGGGAGAUCCCCAAACCGUAAACACCUAUAAAUGUUGGUCUUUGGUGUUUUUCAAGGCUUAGACACAAUAAGGGAAGGUUUAAACUUGUCAAGGAUGGCUUAAACAUCAAACUAGGACUUAGAUUAGGGACUUAGGCACCAUUUGUGCCUUUCUUGGUGUUUACGGCCCAAGAACAUUCUUGGACCGUGAACACCUUUAACCUUGUGUUCUUGGCAUAAUUUCUUGAUGUUUAAAUGUAAUACUAGCUUAACAACACUCAAGGAAGGAAGUACUUACGAUUAAGAGGCUUGAUUUGAGCUAAAAGUCCAAGAACACUUAGUGUGUGCUCUUGGUGUUUUGGAAAUCUAGACAAAAUACAUAAAUGAAUGGAUGAAUAGAUGUACAAACACUAGAUUAAGUGUUUUACUAACUUAAAAUGGUUAGAACACUUACAACUUUGAAGAUUUGGAAUCAAAUCUAGGACGAUACUUAAAAGCCUUUUUGGAGUUUACUUUUUUGGGUAUUUGGGGAGUAAACACAUAAUGACUAGUCUUGGGGAGUAAACUCAUACAUAUGUAUGAGUUUACGGUUUUUGGGAUGAUUUUUCAACCCAAACAUAAUAGUUUGGCCGGGAACUUCUAAGACACGAGGUGUUUGCGGUUUUUAAAAUUCAAAACCCGAGACGACACUUUCUUUCACCCGAUCGUUUAAAAAUAAUAUUAAAAUAAUAUUUCUUAAAAAUAAGAAAUAAUGACAUUAACUUAUGAUACGAAGUGGUUGACUUUUAGGGUUUGACCGAAUGGAAAUUUCGGGUUGUCACAUAACCCAAUCAACCACAAACUUGUAAUACCAAACAAAGAUAUGCUUCAGAAAUCGCAAAUCAUUAACUAGAUAGACUCAAAAUUGGAUGAUUGGAGUAAGUGGAUUAGUAAUAGAGGGGGAAUUGGUCGCUGUUUUGCAGGAAAAUAAGGAUGCAGGAAAACAAAAAAACUCACCUGGAGAAGAAUGAAAUCGCUGUGCUCGCUGCUUGCCUGCUUCAGUUGCUCCUUCAAUCUCCUUCAACGACUAUAGUUCAAUCGUUGUUGAUGUCGUUCCUUGGUCGCUGCUUUGUUUCUUCCAGUUGCUUUUCUUUCCCAGAGGAGACGAGUUUGUUUUCCCUGGAGAGAGCCGAUCUCACUUAAUUAUCCAAACCCUAAUAAACGGGCCAAUCCGGGUUUUUAGCGGUUCGAGAUACCCGGUUCAACCGUGAUUUAGUGUAAACCCGGCCGGUUCGAUCCGGUCGGUAUUUUUACAAAAACCCGCUCUAAUUUGACCCACCUUUUAUCCUGGAUCACGGUCCAACCGGUUGAACCGGCCGGGUCGACCCGAGUUUUAAAACAUUGGGAAAUGGUACUAGUGAACAAGAGAGAACAAAAGAGAGAGAGAGAUAAAUGGUUUUGAUUCGAUGCGAGAACCUGUGAGUGGUUUCAAUCCACACCACCAUUACACCCCACCAUUACACCCAUUGAGGAUGAUUUACUAGUGAACAUCUCUUUCACAUACUUCAAAUGAAGUCCAUACCUCAUGGCCUAUUAUUAAAAUUUUGUGAUUACCACCCAAAACAAACCAUCAUAGAUCAUAUAUUUAACAAAGGCAAAAAAGAGAAAAUGACAAAUGAGUUCUCUUUGUUUUUAGUGAAGCUGGCCGGUUUAAACCUCGGAAACAUGGAGAAUAUUCGUCGCGAAUGAGAUCGAUCGCCGAAUAUCCUCCUUGAUUGUUUCAAUCCAAUAUUUUAUCCAUCCAAGCCAUUGUCAAACCUCUAUUCCUCUCUGUAUAUAUACGUACAUCUGGAACAGACGUGUGAUUUAUACCAAGUCAUCCAUAUUCCCAAAUUUCGACUUGUUUUCUAGGGUAAGAGGUGGAAUCAUCGAACAAGAUGCAAUUCCGUAAGCUUCUGAAUAAAUUGAUCGACGAGAUGAUGCCGGAUUGGAGAGAUAAGUUUCUGUCUUAUAAAGAUCUGAAGAAGCAAUUGAAGCGGGUUUACUCCAGAGACGGUCGCUGUAACAAGAGGAUGAAAUUGAGCACCGGUGACGACAUUGAGCCGGCGGUGGACGAGAAGGCGGUUGCUGAUUUCGUGAAAUUGUGCCAGGAGCAAACCGACAAGCUUAACGAUUUCGUCCUUGAAAAACAAGAGUGGUAUAUCAUCAAACUGGAGGUAAUUUUGAUUUCUAAAUUUCGAAUUGAAUCGUCAAUACCUGCAUCUCGAUUGUGCUGUUAUCAAAUCCUAUAAUUGUUCCUGUUUACAUCUUAAUUGCUAAAUGUUACGUUAUCUCUUCCAUAAACAGAUGGAAAUUCGAUAUUCAUCUCAAAUUUCGAAACUUCACGGAUGAUCAUUUCUGUUAUUGAAUUCGUUUCAGUUGUUGGCUCUUCAUAUGAAUCUAACCAAUUAGUGUUAUAAUGUUGGGUUAUCACUUUAUUGUGCACAAUUCAUGCAUACUGUCACAUAUCUAAUGCAAAUCAUUUUAAAGGUGCUAGAAGGUAACUUGAUCGCAGCCAAGGAUUCAAGUGAAGAGUUGAGGAAAGUUGCUAGAGACCUCGCAGAUUUACAUGGGGAGAUAGUUCUCUUGUUAAAUUACAGUGCACUCAAUUACACAGGUAUUCACUAACCUCUACAGUCUUCAUUUCUCCAAACAAUUUAGUAUCUCCUUCUUUACAGUUUCAAAUCAUGUUACAGGAUUAGUUAAGAUACUGAAGAAACAUGACAAACUAAGCGGAGCUCUUCUUCGUGUGCCUUUCAUCCAAAAAGUUAUGAAUGAGCCAUUUUACAAAACUGAUGUUCUAAACAAUCUUGUUAAGAAGUGUGAGAUGAUGCUGGACCAAUUUUUAUCCACGAAGCAACAAAGUUCAUCCCCAUCUGAAUCAGGAAACAGGAAAGAAGGAAGGAGUUCUGAACCAAAUGAGGAGUCGUCUUCUGUUAGGGUUCCUGAAGAACUGGUUGAUAUUGAGAACAGGGAGAACACAUACAUGAAACAAACUCUUUCAGCACUUAGAGUUUUGUCAGAAAUUCGAAAUGGAAGCUCGACUGUAAACUCGUUUUCACUACCCCCGAUGCAACAGAACAAGGAGAGGGAGGAGGUAUGGAAGAAAACUUAUGUUGUUGAAGAAGUUGCUAAGUGAAUCAACAACACCCAUAACUUUGUAACAAACAGCCUUUGAUUUUUGAACAAAGGAGGAAUAAGAUGAACAGUUGGUUUUUUCUUGGGACGAUAACCUGUAAUUGAUAAUUAGGAAUCGAUAAUGUAAUAUAUUUUCUUUUAUAAUCACAAAAUUUGUGACAUCUAAUUAAGUUUAUUUAUACCAGUUUGGUCUCGGUUUUUUUAAUGGGGACUAGCUGAAACAGGUCAUUUAGUUCACAAUAAAAUGAAACAAAGAGGACUAUCCCUACAAGAAAACUCAAAAUUGGACUGGAUAUGUCAUUUUCACCAAACAACAUGGAGCGUGCGAAAGAGGACUCAAUCUCAAAGAAUAGAAACAUGCAAACAUUUUUUGUGAAGCGUGACGGAGCUUUUUCGCAAAGAUAUAAAGUUUGGUGAAUACCAAACAAAAGACAAAUUAUGACUAAAAUUUGUGACGUAAAACAAAAUAGUCAUGGAAUUUAAUAGAAUGUAUAAGAAUUUGUGCAACCAUCGAAAAACCCGUCAAAGUGAUAGGACACAUGUUGACUAGGCACUUCAGAUAUACGGAAUAAAAAUAAAAAUAACGAGAAACCUUCAAAUUUUUAUUGAGUUUUGGAAAGGUGCUGUAAAAAGCCCAAAAUGGAAUUUGGUGGAAACA
RNAcentral lists this long non-coding RNA (72351 nucleotides) under Lactuca sativa (garden lettuce). Its description in RNAcentral is "long non-coding RNA (LSAT_LNC000191)". The record is from RNAcentral. Lineage: Eukaryota; Viridiplantae; Streptophyta; Magnoliopsida; Asterales; Asteraceae.